RNAcentral lists this long non-coding RNA (86030 nucleotides) under Populus trichocarpa (black cottonwood). RNAcentral describes it as "long non-coding RNA (PTRI_LNC000224)". The stretch from base 60622 to 60776 matches the Rfam family "MIR2912 microRNA precursor family". The record is from RNAcentral. Lineage: Eukaryota; Viridiplantae; Streptophyta; Magnoliopsida; Malpighiales; Salicaceae.
CAUGCUCGUGUUCUAUAAAGCUCACACCAAAUCUUAAUCAUAAAGAGUGGGAAUGAGAGAGAGAAAAAAGAAGAAGAAGAAGAAGAAAAUGGGGCUGAAAAACUUCACUGCCAUUUUUCAAAAUCAGACGACCCGUUUCCUUUCAAAGGGUAGCCAAAAAGUUCCCAUACACACCCAUUAGCGAGCUUCUUCUUUACGAAAAAAAAAACUAAAAAAAUUAGAUCAUCAUUUUCAAACCACCUUCUAGCUAGAACUGGAAACAAAAAAACAGUACAGACUCUCUCAUCAGCGCUGUCUCUUUACGCCACCCUCGAGUUACUACUAUCUUGCCCCACGUUGACUCAAGGAACCAUAGCCGCUGCUUCCACAGUACCGUUAACCUGAGGUGUUCAUUACCGGAAUCAUAACACAAGGCAGGCCAGGAGCCCACUCACGUCGUCCAUGUGCAUCUUCAGCGUGCUCGUUUUACAUUCUUGCCUCUGACCUCUCUGGACUUAGCUUUAUUCAAGCACUAGCCACUCAAAAAAAGAGUGAAGAUGAGGUACGGGAUAUCCAGUGGAGCUGUCUCCAUCAUAAUCACUCAAGGUAUAAAGCUUCCACCUAUUCUCAUGUAGUUGUAAUCUUUUUGCAUGUGCAUGCUACUGCAAAGGCAAGCUCCCGUUUUUCCUUUAUGUGCUAUGAAGUUAACAUAUAGUGUUGUAAGGUGUGUGGAUCUUUUAAGUCCUAACCUGGUCACGGGUGUUCUUUCACUUGCUACGGGUACUGAAGGGGAUGGGGUGUGAUUUUUCCUUCAAACGCAUAUGGUCUUGAAAACUUGAUUGCAUGUCCUAAGGUCAUGUUAAGACCUUGCCUAGUUAAUUAAGAAUGCUCUUACCCAAGGUUAAAGUUCAAGAACGGUAUGAGAAGGUGGAAAAAGAUGUUGACAACUAUUGGGGUCAUAGGUUUUCCUUUUUUUUUUUUUGUCUUCAGAAAAUAAAAAUGCAUAGGACUGUCAGGGAGUUUUUCCAUACCAUGCUUGGGCUUCGGAUGUAUGUUUCCUUUACGUACAUGAGAUGAUGGUUACCUUGCUUUACGUACAGAAAUCUCCAAUGACUAAAUAAAAUGAUUUUUGGUUGAAGAAGAAUCGGUAUGUGCAAGGGUUUCUGGUUCAUUUCUUUUUACUGUCCCAUGGCUUUUCGUUAAUGCUAGUACAGCUAUAUUUCUCUUUUCUAAAGUUAAGUAGGUUGAUAUAUAUAGAAAUCGGUUUAUCACGGGUUUAAGAAUAUUAAAGAAAAAAAAAAAAAAAAAGCUUUCAUGGGUCUUCAAGGCACAAACACUCAUAUGACAAAUUUUAAGUUUUCUUUUUCACUAAGGACAUGUGUGGUAAAUAUGACCAAACAUAUUUUUCAUGGCCUUUAUUUUCUUUUCUUAAUUUUUUUUUGUUUUGUCUAACAUAUCUUAGUCUAAUUUUAAUUAUUUUUCAAGUUUUGAAGAGCCAUUUUGCAACUAUAUUUUUGGUUUUCCACGUCAUUUUUUACCUUUUCAUAUUUAAAAACAAGUUUAUUAAAUCCACAGGGAUUUGGCCUAAGUUUUAAAAAUACUAAAAAAAUUAAUUUGUUUAUUUUAAUACAAUGAAUUAUGAGCUUAUAUCUAAAAUGUAUUCUCGAUAUUAAAAGGAACAAAUGCAAAAAUAUGUUUUGGCUCUAGAAUGGCUAGACUUGACCCAUAAAGCCAUGGUUCUCUGUACUAGGGUAGACCUUCUUUAACUAAUAGACAAAUCAAUGAUUAGAUAAAGAAAACAGUGCCUUAGUAAUAAUCAGAAAAAUAAACAAUAAAGCUUAUCUUAGGUAUGAUUACUAAGGGUGAUAAUGUCCAUCCUAUAUACAACUUGUCCCCUUGUCUAGACUCUGAAGACUAGUUAGAGUUUUCAGUGAUCAAAAUACAAGAUAGCAACUCCAAGCAUUUUUUAUUUAUAAAGGACAAGAAGUCCAUGUUCUUUCCACACCACACCAAAGUCCUGAUCUAGGAGGAUGAUCGCAAUGAUACCACAUCCGUGCCACAUUCAACAUUGUAUUUUCCAUGAGUUAUCCUUUCUAUUUUUCAAUUACUUUGAUCCAAAUAAUGUGUUACCCUCUCAACAUUCUUCAAAGUCAACAUGUACUUCUACUAAUUGAUCUAAAUAUGAAUGUGAUGCGAUGUAAAUGAGUAUACAAGAUUAAACAUAUGGAAGAUGGGACUUUUUAGCACUACAAAACAUGUUUGGUGGCCAAAUGCUAUUAUCGACAAAAAAGGGUUUGAUUUUCAAGAGAUAUUUAGUGUAGUGAGGAAGCCUUGCACUAUUUAGACAAUGCUCGAUAUUGGUGAUACUUGAGGUUGGUCGGCUUAUUAGAGGGAUUUCUUCAUUUAGAUGUGUUUAUAACCCAAGCCAGGUUGUUAAAAUCGCGAGUUAUGAGUCAACAUGUAUCUAACGUGCUAAAUCGGACUAAAAACUCAAAAAUAGUAAAAUCAGACUUGUGCAAAAUCAGUAAAAUCGGUAAACUCAGUCCGAUUUUAUGAGUUUACUAAAUUUGUGAUAUGAAUCAAGUCAGGUUCAAAUUUGGCCUUAAAAUAUCUGCUGACUAGUUUUGCGAGAUUGAGCAUAUAUUUCAAACUGUAUAUUGGAUAAAACUGAUAUUUUACAGGAAAAUAUUAGAUACAUAAACAUAUAUUGUGGUAAAUUGUUAGGUCAAAUAGAGUUAGGAAACAUAAUUUUAGAGGGUCAAAGUUAGUAAACUAAUAUUGUCAAAUAUGUCAAACAAGUCCUUCGUGUACUGUUUGGAACAUAUCCAGAGCUACCGGUGGAAUUUUGCUUCAAUUAAAGUUGGGAUAGAAACUAGACAUCUGAAACUUUCCAACUAUAUACGUAGGCCCAAGAAUUCAUCCAAACAAGAGAGAAUGACAUGUUUGAAAUCAGGACUCAAAUCUACCAAGAAUAUGCAAAAAAUAGAAGAUUCAGGUUACAUGGAUGAAUUUUAACAUGAAGACUUUUUUAUUAUUCUAUUUUAUUUAUUUAAUUUUAAAUAAUUAUUUUUAAUUUGAAUUUUUUCUAGCGCAUUAGACAUUGUUUAGGAAUUUGUUUUAUUAUUGAAUUUAUGUUAGUUAAUUACUAAUUUAAACUUAUUAGCUUGCAACCCAAAAGGGGUCUAUCAAGACUUAUUGUGAUAGGAACAACCAGGUUGUCACUAGGUUUAUGUGUGCUUCCUACCUUUCAGUGAUUCCCUUGUAUUGAAAAAUUUUGUUCUGUGACUUUUUAUUUCUCCAUGUCAUUAAUUUAUUGAUUCAUACUAUCUAUCUCUCUCAUUUUAUUUAGAUCGCUCAUUGAUUAUAAUAUUGUUGACUCAUUUUAUUAGAUUUUAAUGUAAUUUAAUUUCUUGACUAAAAUUAUCAAUAUAUAAUUAGUUAAAAAAUUAUUUAUGAUUUUACGAUUUUACGAUCUGAGUUUAUUUUAUAUUUUUCGUGUCGUGUCAAAAAAUAUUUUUGACAACCUUGAACCCAGGCUCUUGACUUUAUUGAUCCACAAUCCCCAAACCAUAUUCGCAAACUAAAACUUUUUUUUUAUAGUUUAAAACAAGCACCUCGUGCAUGUAUUGAUUGCUUAGUGAAUUCUUAGUUUCUCAAUGGAUUUUAUAUUCGUAAAUUUUUAAGUGAACCCAGGUUAUAUUAUCAUGAUAACUAAAAUAAAAUGAGCUAAAUUUAUUUAUAAAAUGAGCACCACACGCUUAGAUUUAAAUUCCAUAGAAAGAUUAGCACCUGAUGACAAGUUAACUCGGGAAACAAAGGUAAUAACAAAGUUUUGAGAUUGAAUUCGACACUAGGUCUACUUAGUAGUUAGUACAUAUAAGUUGAAGGAUUGCUACCUUGACCAAUGAACUGAAAAUAUCUUUAAUUUAUAAUGAAUGGCAUACACCAUACAGUUUUACCAUAUCAACAGCAUGAAAAUUGAUAAUCGAUCCUUUAGGGAUAUUAUUCCAUUUCUUUAUUAAUUAUCAUAAAAACAUUUAUUAAAUGUGUUGUCCUCCAACUCUUUCCAUAAAAAGAAAGAGUUGUGAACCACAACAUACAUUUGAUCAUGGACAAAAGGUAAUCAAAUAGUUGCCUCCACUAGGACAAGUAAACGUGCUCGAUUUAUCAUCAAAAGCAUAACUAUAAGCUUGAGGACACUGCUGCUUGAAAGUCAUCGAAUAUUGGGUAGGAGGACAUGUUUCAGCUGUAUUAUACUCUCCUGUGCAGCAGUACUGCGGCUGGUUAAAUGCCAAACACGCACUCUUGCAGGCAAUCACAGUCCCAUCUGAACCUUUCACUGCUAAACUAGGAUCACAAACAGCAUUCACGUUAGCUGCACAGCUUGUAGAAGGGCAGCCAGUAGAACCUCCUUGCGGGGUUACCGAAAUUGGGAGGUUAAAGCCAUCAACAAGGCUUAUAUCGUAAUAAUCUUUCCCACCAUCACCGCUUAGAGUAAAUUCUGCCAAGGAUGCUGGUGGGAUCGCACCGGCUCCAUUGCAUUCUAUGACACCAGAGCCACAGUCAGCAGUAGCACAAACAAACUUUCCCGAGGCAUCUGUAGAGCAUUGCGUUCUGGCCCACAAGCGGCCAGACCAAUUGACAGGGACACUCAGCGAAGAUGAAGCACCCGUUGCCAAUGUGAAGCCAGUUGAAGAUAAAGACGGACCGCCAGCAGCCGUUAGAGUUCCUGGCCAGACUGUGUAUGGACAGUUGUUUGUGAAGUCGAAAGUCACAGAUUGAGCUCCUGCAUGCGUGCAAGAUUUAUUUUUGUUGAUAUCAAUAAUUAAAUCUUGGUCGAUUCAAAGAUAACAUAAUUCAAUAUUUAAAAUCUUGUAUUAAUUCAGUUAUUUUUCUUUUAAAAAUAUAACAUAACCCAUGUUUUUUUUUAAUAUAUUUUUUUCUUUUUUCUUUUUUAUCUGGAAACUCCCUCCUGGAUAAAUUUAUUGGAUUCACGAAAUCCAUUGAAUAAUGAAAACUAGUUAAUAUUGCAUACGCAAACAGAAAAUAUAUAUGUAGAAUAAUCAAAGUGAAUAAUAUGCAUAAUAGAGUUUUCCAUGCAAGAAUCUAGUAUAUGUAAUAUUGUAAAACUACUUGCCAUAGAGGAAGAUGACGAGGGUGAAGGUAAUUAUAGCAAUAUUGGGCAUACGACUCUCCAUUGCCGAGAUGCGUCGAAUUAAGACCUUUUCAGUAUCUUUCAAGAGAUUUGAGGUAACCAAGAAACACUCUAUAUUUUAAAAAUAUUAUGAAAUGAGCAGACUUAAUAAAUAGUGUAAAAUUUGCAGACUAGUAAACAGAGGAACGUCCUGCUUCUCACGUCAAAUGAAAGCAACACCCAAUUGAAUAUUGAAUGCAACUCUGGUCCAGCAGACGAGCCGUGAUGAAUGUGAGAGUCUUCAAAAUUAAAGAAAAAAAAUUCACCACCUAUUAAUUAAAAACUUUAGAAUUUAAAAAUAGACAUUGGUUAGAGAUUUAGACAUUGAGCUAGUUAAGUCUAAGAAAGAUCAAUAUCACCCUUAUCAUAUCCUUUAAAAUGAAAAGUUACCUCCACAAUGCAUUUAAGAAAAAUUAUUCCAUGCAUAAUAUUAAUUAUCUAAAUUUAUUUCUAAUCUUUUCGUGAUUUAUUUUAAUAAAAAAUUGGCAAUUCAAAAUUUAUUUCUCAUACAGACUAAACUAGAACUAUUUAUCAAGAAUUAUUUGUGCUAAUAAAUAUUAAAGAAACUCGUUAAUGAUAAGUAAAGACUAAACUAGGAUCAAAUUGAUGCUUAAAAUCAUAAUUCUCCAUUAAGUUAUCAAACAAUUCUGAAAAUUUGUGUGGACCCUUCUAAUAUGAUACUUUAACUUGAGUUAAAAUUUCAGAGUUUUUGAAGAAAGUCAGAAAUUUGAUGAAAAAUCACAAUUUUACCAGUUUUACGUUAUUGGGCGUAAUUUUCAAUCCGACCAUCCAAUUGAGCUGAAAUUUUACAAGGAAUCUUCAAAUAUAUUGAAUAAAAUCUGAUUAAAAUCUGAUUAAAUGAACGGAGCUUGGUAGUGCUAACAAAAAAAAGGACCGUCAAAUAAAAGCAAAACAACUCAUUAAGGGCAAAAUAGUUAUUUGCCAUUAAAAAUAAAACAAAUUAUCUCUUCCUUCUUUUUAUAUGUUGCCGACUGAGCAGAAGCAAAAUAGAAAAAGAAAGAAAAGAAAAGACGAGAGAGAAAGAGAGAAACGUAAGGGAAAACAUAAAAAGAAAAAUCAAAGGAAAAAAAAUAAGUGAGAGAAUAACCUUGUACACUUAUAAAGUCCGACUUAUAAAACACUAAUCUUAGAAAGAAUCAAGUGAAGGAAUGAGGAAUUGAGAAAGGGAAAAAAAUUUAAUUAUUUUUUUUCCAGUUGAUAUGAGAUUGUUAUUUUAUCCUGGUUAAGGGGUUGUUACAAUAUCGAUUCAGAUUCGAUUAUAAAUGAAUUAUAUUCCACAAAACAUCGAAGGAUAUAACUUCAAUAGUAGGUUUAUUUUUACUUUCACUUCAAUUUUAUGUACUUUUAAAUUUAUUUUUUAAUAUUUUGGAUAAUGUAUUUCAAUUAAAAUUUUACUGUUAACUUAAAAAAUUCAUAUACAUAAGUUAAUAAUUGAUCUUAAAAAAAUUUAUAUAUUUAUUUAAUAACCCAGGACGGGAAAAAUUCUUGACUCUGCUGGUAACAACCAUCUUCCACACGCACCGUCUCAUCCACGAUGACAUUUGACAAUGAAUGUCAAAUUAUAAAAUUAUAAUUUAUUUAUAUUUAUAAAAAAUUAAAUUAUAAAAUUGGGUCUAUCACCUAAAGUGCGCAGAGACCGUCCAUGCACUGACCUGCACUCAUCCAAAAAUUGAAUAUUGAAUGUAACUCUGGUCCAGCAGACGAGCCGUGAUGAAUGUGACCCUCUUCAAAAUUAUCACACCGUGAUGAAUGCGAGAUUCUUCAAAAUUAAAGGAAAAAAAAGUCACCACCUAUUAAUUAAAAAAUUUAGAAUUUAAAAAUAGACAUUGGUUAGAGAUUUAGACAUUGGUUAGAGAUUUAGACAUUGUGCUAGUUAAGUAUAAGAAAGAUCAAUAUCACCCUUAUCAUAUCCUUUAAAAUAAAAAGUUACCUCCACAAUGCAUUUAAGAAAAAUUAUUCGGUGCAUAAUAUUAAUUAUCUAAAUUUAUUUCUAAUGUUUUUCGUGAUUUAUUUUAAUAAAAAAUUGGCAAUUCAAAAUUUAUUUCGCAUACAUAUUAUUAAAUAAAUCAAGAAUUAUCUAUGCUAAUAAAUAUAAAAGAAACCCGUUAAUGAUAAAUAAAGACUAAACUAGGAAAAUUAAGAGAUAAAUAUAAACCAAAAUAUUUGAUAUCGCAACACGAAGCAUGUACCUAGUUGUGUUUAAUAAUUUAUUUAUUUGAAUAAAUUUUGUAUUUAAUAAAAUGAUUAUCCGUGCCAAUAAAAUGAUGUCUACCCAAUACAUUUUUUUUUGUAUUUCAAAAUAUUAUGAAAUGAGCAUCACAUGCUUAUAUUUAUUAAAUUAUAUUAUAUUAUAUUAAAUGAAAAAAAUAUUUAUAAAAAAAAUAAAUUAAAAAACAAAUAAAAAUACUCGAGAUAUCCCAAGUCCUUUUCAAAAUAAGUGAAAAAUCCUAUAGAAAAAACAAAAAAAAAACCUUCUAGAGGAUGAUAUUUUAAAAAAAAAUUCAAAUUAAAAAAUGAUCUCAAAUAAAAAAAUAAGAAUUAAAAGAACAGGGACAAAAUUUGGAAGAUGAAAAAACCAAAGGGAAUGAAAUUGUCAAAGAAUUUCAAUUUUAUAAAUUAUUCCAAACAAAACAAGUAAUAAUCAAAAGAACAGGGACCAAUUAAUAUGAAGGAAUAACAAAUUGAAGGCGUGCUUUGAAAUUUUGAAGGGGCACACACGAAAAUCAAGGGGAGAGUGCGAAGAAAAAGAAAAAGAAAAGCUUGUCGGCACCAAACCGAACAACUAUUUGCCACACACGUUGCCUCAUCCACAACGGCCUUUGUUCAACGAAUGACCCUACACCCGCCACCUGAAGUGCGCGGAGACCGCCCAUACACUCACCUGCACUCAUCAACUAUUUUUUUAAUAUUAUUUAUAUUUAUUAAAUUAUAAAUUUGGAAAUAAAACACCCUGAUAAAAAAAACCCAAUGAAAUAUACAAAUGCCCUUGGUUUGAACCACAAGUGACUAACUUAGAUAUCUCAAUUUAUGAGAAAGCAGAAUAGUAAACAGGCAAUUAGAGGAACGCCUUGCUUCUCACGUCAAAUGAAAGCAACACCCAAUUGACUAACGAAAGCACUAAAUAUCCCAAUUAAUGAGAAAGCAGACUAGUAAACAGCCUAUUAGAGGAAUUGAAACUAUAUAUCCCAUAUCCCAGUUAAUGAGAAAGCAGACUAAUAAACAGCCUAUUAGAGGAAUUGAAUGAAAGCAAUUGAAUGCAGGAAGAGGGCCAGACUAGUAAACAGCCAACAGUGGGAGUUCUCCUCUAGCACAUAGUUAUUAAACCCGGCCCAGGGGUUGACCCGGCCAAGGGGCCGGGUCCCAGGUUUCAUGGGUCGACCCAGGUCGACCGGGGUCAACCCGGAAAAAUUUAAAAAAAUUAAAGUUUUAAUAUUUUAUAUGAAAAAAUUAAGAAAAAAUCCAUGUAAAUAUAUGUUAUACAUAUUGUAAAUAAUGAAGUUUAAAAGAAUAUUUUAAAAAAAAUUUAUUCUGCAUUAAAAAUAUAUUAUGUUAAGUUUUUAAAUUGAAGUAUUUAAACCAAAAAAUUUUCUUAUCCCACAUUGAAAAAACAUAGUUUUUUUCUUAUGAACAUAGAGUAUAUAUACUAAUGAGUUUCAAAUCCCACAUUGAAAAAAGAUAACUUUUUUCUUGGGAACAUAGAGUAUAUAUACUAAUGUGUUUCAAAUGUCACAUUGAAAAAAGAUAAUUUUUUUCUUGGGAACAUAGAAUAUAUAUAUUAAUGGGUUUCAAAUCCCACAUUGAAAAAACAUAGUUUUUUUCUUGUGAAUAUUGAGUAUAUAUACUAAUGGGUUUCAAAUGCCACAUUGAAAAAAGAUAACUUUUUUCUUGGGAACAUAGAAUAUAUAUACUAAUGGGUUUCAAAUCCCACAUUGAAAAAACAUAGUUUUUUUCUUGUGAAUAUUGAGUAUAUAUACUAAUGGGUUUCAAAUCUCACAUUAAAAAGAUACUAUGUUAUCAUUUUAAGUUUUUUAUCCCACAUUGAAAAAACAUAAUUGUUUUCUUGGAAACACAAAGUAUAUAUACCAAUGGGUUUCAAAUCUCACAUUUGAAAAAAAAAACACUGGUUCUCACCCGGGUCGCCCAGGUCACGGGUUGACCCACUAGGUUUGAACGGGUCGUUGCACUGACCGGUCUUUUGACAAACUUGGACCGGUCCAACUCCCGGGUCGGCCGGGUCCCGGGUCAACCGGCAAGGUCAGGCCGGGUUUAAUAACACUGCUCCAGCAUGUGAAACCGAGGAGCCGUGAGGAAUGCGACACUCUUCCAAAUUAUCCCUUAAAAAUUUGGCAUUAAUCUUUAAAAAUAUAUGAUUUCAUCGAUUCAGGAAAAAUUGGACAUUAGUCCCUAAAAUAAAUAAUUUCAUCAAUUUUUGAAAAAUAUGAUAUUAAUUCUUAAAAAUAGGAGAUUUCAUUGAUUUAGAAAAAACAAUUAACAUUAAUCCCUAAAACUAGGUGAUUUUCUCGAGAUAUAUGUGUUUGUGUGUGUGUGUGUGUGUAUAGAACAUUUAUAUAUAUUUUAAUCCAAUAUAAUAUAUACAUAUCUCAAUAUUGAUAUAACACACACACACACACACACACAUACAUGUAUAAUAUUAUUCAUUUUAUCAUUUAUUACAUGUAUACAUAUUUCAAAUAUAUCUAUUACUAUUUUAUUUUUUGUUGAAUAUUAAAUAACAGUAGAACAAUGGUUACCAAUAUAGAUAUACUCGAAAUCUAAUGAAUAAAGUAUGAAUAUCUGAAUUUUUUACUUGAUGAAUAAUAGGUAGGGUAUAUAUAUAAAAAAACUUAACAUGUAGAUAUCCAUUGGGAUUAUACAUAAUUUCAAUAUAUAAAAUCAAUGCAUUAAUUCAUUUAUUUUUCUUUUACAAAGAUAAAAUGAUGAUAAAUGCAAAAUAUAUAUAUGUUUUUAAUUCUUUUACAUUAUGCUUUUAAUGUGUUUUAAUCUUAUUUGAGCUGAUUGAAAGUAAUUUUAUGAGUUUGGCAUGCCUAAAAGACUUGGUGAAUUAAUUGCUAAAAGAUAAAAAAAUUCUGCAUUUUAUGUUUCGAACCUUGGUAUUUCUGACAUCUUUUUCACCAUGUUGGAGUUACAGAAUAGGAACGUGGCUUAAUCAAAGUUGAACUACACAUAUCCAGCUUUCCAGGAAGGUAUUAUGGGAAGAAAUCUGAUCUUAUUUGAACAUCUAAUCAGACCUGCAAAAUCGAGCCAGAAUUCUAUUUGUAGCAGAAUUCUCUGUUUUCACAUUAGAUAUUCAAAUAGAUAUAUCUUGAGUUUCAGAUAUCGCAAUCAGACUAUUCAAAAGCCCAAAUUCAUCUACACAUCCAGGGAUACAACUUUUAUGAAGGACUCCAGAUCUGAUAAAAUUAUUUUCAAGAUGAAAAUCCUGAUGCAAGCUAGAUGACAAGUUUUGUCUCUUGAUCUGAUGAGAAACUAACAAGAUGAGAGUCCUAUCUUUUAAAGAAAAUCUGAUGGGAUCAGAUAGAUAUUCUUUAUAGCUUCUUACCUCCUAGUCUUUAGCCUUGAUAUUUUAUCAUGAAGGCUGCCUCUUAGGAUCAACGUGACAAAGCAACGAGGAAAAAAGCGUUCUUUGCCAAAAAAAAAUUUAAAGAGUUCAUCUUCGCUGCUGGAAUUUUCAAAGACCAUGAGCAACUAAUUCUCAAUUUCGGUUCAAGGGGAAUAGACACCUUCUCCAUUAUCAAGUUGUGAGAAAUAACAUUAUCAUUGUAAUUAUUUCAGACUCAAGUACUUAUUUUUUUUUUUAAGAAUUAUGUUAUUGAUUUAUGUUCAAGAUAAUUGAAUUGUUUUGAGAUGACAUGUAUGAUUUCUAGUUUCUUUCAAUUCAUAAUUGUUGUUGGGGACUAAAGUUAGAAGCAAAAGAAUUAAUUUGAUUGUUGCAACUCUCAUCUUAAAUUAUUUGGAAAGAAUAAGUUAAGUUAAAUUGUCAAGCUUUUGAAGGAUUGUUUAGUAUAAAUCUGACAGCCUUUUCUCUUAAGGCUAUUGUCAAAUGAAUGAGAAUUGCUUUUCAAUAUUACAUUUGUUUGAUAGUAAGAAAUUGAUUAAAAAGCUUUGUCUAAUUAAUUUACUGAUAGUCUCAUCGAUUCCUCGUAGUUUUAAGGAAUAUCGAAUUUAUUUGCUUGAUUUGAAAGAACAUUUAUUUUUACUUUGAUGAUUAAUAAAUUUAUAGGAAUGGAUGUAUGGACCCUUUGAACUGAGUUAAUAACAUAUCAAUUUAUCAAUUUUAUUUUUAGAAUUUUGUUUCUUUAAUUAUUCAAAUCCUCCACGUUUUAUUUAUUUUAGUUUCUUGUAGGAAGAUUAAAUAAAAUUUUCUUUAAAGAUGAAAACAGAAGAUUGGUCAAAAGGAAGGUAUGUUUUUUCAAAGAAGAACAAGGAAAUAAAAUAUUCUCAUUUGACUGUAAUUUUAUUUCAUAUUUUUUUCCUAAAUUGCUAGAUAUACUUAAAAUUUCCGAAUGAGGCUUCUGCGGAUUUUACAUGAACUGGCUAACUACUCCAACUUCAUAUGUAAUAUCUGAUCGUGUCAAGAUUAAGUAGAUAAGACUACCUAGUAUUCGUCAAUACAUAAUUGUAUUGCUUCAAACCUUUUAGCCUAUAUAAAGAUCAUUAUAUGUUUGUAGUAAGUUAUUUGAAUAAAAUUAAAUUAUACAUGUUUUUUUUUACAACUCAUAUACAAUAAAUUAAAACAAAUAUUAUAUAUUGUUAUAUUAAUUUUGGCCCCCCCUAACAAAUAAUCCUAGCUCCGCCCCUGCUUAGUUGUGCAUAAUUUUCCUUGAACCUUUAUCAGGGUAGAGACAGACUUGCGAUUGAGGAUUCCAUAUCUUUAUAGUAAAUCUUUUUGUAUACUGAUGUUGGCUAGAAAUAAAUGACUUUGUUCACUCAACUUCAAGUCCAAGGAAAUGUUUAAGCUCUCCAAGCUCCUUCAUUUGAAAACGGGCUGCUGAAUUUUCUCUUAUUUGACCGAUUUCCUUGGUAUCGUCUCUAGUAACAAUGAGAUCAUCUAUAUAGACCAUUAUUACUGCUAUUUCUCCUCGAUUUUUAACAGACAAGUUUGAAUCUGAUGAAGCCAUUGAGUAGCCAUUUUGUAUUAGAAACUCUUACCAUACCACGUCAUUUUAGCUUGUUUUAACCCACACAGGGCUUUCUUUAGCUUGCAUACUUGUUCAGGAUAAAUUUUCCUUUGAAACCCUUGCGGCUGCUCUAUAUAUAUAUAUAUAUAUAUAUAUAAUAGAGAUAUUAUUGAUGGAAUCAAUUUACCGUUAAGGCUAUCGUAAACUAGAAUUCAAAAUAUUAAGAGAUGUACAAAAAGAAGUAUUGACAAGCUCCUAAACCAAUAACACUUUACUUAUUAGUUCAUGAUAAAAUGUUGUCAGCGCCUCUAAUUAAAUCAUUUUUUGUGUAUGUAAAGUUAAUGUUGCAAGCCUUUAACCAAAGUGUAAGAUGGUGGAGAAUGAGUUGAAACUGUGCAUUCUAAUCUGGCAUCUUAUCCUUAAAUAUGAGCUUGUUCCUUGCAAUCCAAAUACCCCAUAAAAUGCCAUACGAUAGCAUCAUUAAGGCACUUCGCUGAAACUUGCCUUUUGCCAUGUCUCGCCAUUGGCUGAUGAUUUGAUCUAUUCUAUUCAGCAUGCACCUAGAAAUGCCAAACCAAUUAUGAAAUUGUUGCCACAGUCUCCACGUGUGGUAGCAAUGGAGGAAAAGAUGAUUAUCAUGUGUUGGGAAAACUAGGGACAACUAACCGGAUCAAUUCAGCGGAAUACAAUUCACAAUUUACAAGUCCCAAUCCUUUUUCCCUCUCUGUGCAGUAAAAACAGAAUCAAACAAUGAAUAAAUAUAAUGCAACAAUCACACAAAUCAACACCAAGAUUUUUACGUGGAAAACCCGAUACGGGAAAAACCACGGGACCGGAGUCCACCUAAAAACUUCCACUAUCACAAAUAAUGGGUUCACAAUUGUUCUUCCUCAGAUUCAACUAAGGGCUACAACAAAUAUAUCAUCAAGAACAACUUAUUCUCGGAUUACAACAAGAUUAAAGAGAGUAAUGUUAGAGAAAAGCUCACAACACUGACAGCCCCGUUUUCUGUCAAAACGAUCAGCUUUCACACCACCAAUAUUCAAUCCAACCGUUCAGAAUGAAGAGUAACGUGUCUAGAAGCUGCUGUCCAAAUCUCAGCCCGAUCCAACGGUGAACGAACUGGAAAUAAAAGAAAGAAGACAGACUGCUCUGCUGCCUCCUCUUCUUUCUUUCUCUCGGUUUUUCUCUGCUCUCUUGUUCAAAUUUUGCUACUACCUCUACAGUGGUAGUUUCAUUUUAAUUUAAACCAAAGAGGCAGCCAGCUGCCUCCUUAAUUAAUGUGGUGGUCCCCCCAUCACAUGGUGCGGGACCACACAACAAAUCUCCCCCUCACGCACCAUGUGAGGAAUUCGCCAUACUGGCGAUCAACAUGUAAGCUUCAAUUUAGGAGGCUCUGACAAGCCUGCCUCCCUUCUGCAAAACUCAAACUUCUCUCUCGGUAGAGGUUUGGUCAUCAUGUCUGACACGUUGUUAUCAGUAUGGAUCUUCUCAACAACAAAUGACUUCAUCUCCAUAGCAUCUCGAAUCCAUUGAUAUCUAACCUCAAUGUGCUUUGAUCGAGAGUGAAAAGUAGGAUGCUUACUGAGAUGGAUUGCACUUUGACUAUCACAGUGCAACACAAAGUUCUCUUGAACUAGGCCAAGUUCAUGUAGGAACUUCUUCAUCCAUAACAACUCUUUGCCCCCUUCAGUAAAAGCAAUAUAUUCAGCCUCUGUAGUGGAUAAUGCCACACAUUUUUGCAACCUUGAUUGCCAUGAGACUGCUCCCCCUGCAAACUUCAUCAAGUAUCCUGAUGUGGACUUUCUAGAAUCAACAUCACCAGCCAUAUCUGCAUCUGUGUAUCCAUCCAACACAGGUUUAUCAUUACCAAAACAUAAGCUGAAACUAGAAGUACCUUUGAGAUACCUGAGUAUCCAUUUCACUGCUGACCAGUGUUCUUUACCAGGAUUGGAGAGGAACCGACUGACCACACCAACUGCAUGAGCUAUAUCCGGCCUUGUGCAAACCAUGACAUACAUCAAGCUACCAACUACAGAUGCAUAAGGAACCUUUUUCAUCUCAUCUCUUUCUUCAUCACUUGAAGGACACUGCUUAGAACUUAGUUUAAAGUGGCUUGCAAGUGGAGAACAAACCGGUUUGGAUUGCUCAUGUUGAAUCUCUCAAGUACCUUUGGAACAUAUCUCUCCUGAGAUAGCCAAAGUUUCUCCUUCUUCCUGUCACGUGUGAUCUUCAUGCCAAGAAUCUGUUUUGUCGGUCCUAAGUCUUUCAUUGCAAAAGACUUGCUUAACUCUUCCUUCAAAAUCUGAAUCUUCUUAGCAUCAUGGCCAACAAUCAACAUAUCAUCCACAUACAAUAGGAGAAUAAUAAAGUUUCCAUCUGGAAACCUUUUCAUAAAUACACAAUGAUCAGAAGUGGUCCUGUCAUAACCAUGAUCCACCAUAAAAGAAUCAAACUUCUUAUACCACUACCUUGGAGCUUGCUUUAACCCAUAUAGGCUCUUUUUCAACUUGCAAACUAGCUGCUAUUUACCUUUUGCUUCAAACCCUUCAGGCUGUUCCAUGUAGAUCUCUUCAUCUAAAUCACCAUGGAGAAAGGCAGUUUUCACAUCAAGUUGCUCAACUUCAAGAUUCAAACUAGCAGCUAAGCCAAGCACAACUCGGAUUGAAGACAUCUUGACCACUGGUGAAAAGAUUUCUUCAAAAUCAAUACCCUUCUUCUGACCGAAGCCUUUCACAACCAAUCUUGCCUUGUACCUUGGUUGUGAGCAAUGUUUAUCAAUUUUCAACCUGAACACCCAUUUGUUCUUGAGUGCUCUCUUACCUUUAGGAAGCUUCACUAACUCAAAAGUAUGGUUUUCAUGCAAGGAUUUCAUCUCUUCUUGCAUUGCUUGCAACCACUCACUUUUCUUCUCAUGUGACAUGGCUUCAUCAAAGCAUUCUGGCUCUCCCCCAUCAGUAACUUGCACAUACUCAUGAGGAGAAUAUUUGGUGGAAGGUUGGCGAGGUCUGGUUGACCUCCUUAAUUGUGGCUCAUCUGGAGCUUCCUGUAUAACCUGCUCAGGAAUAACAUCAAUAUCAUCAUUAGUUGAUUCAUGAUCACCAACUAAUGGCUCAAUAAGAAAACCACCAUUAUCAUCAUUUUGCAAAUCUCCCCCAUGAUUAGCAAGCAUCAAAGGUAACUGUGGAGUAGGUCUUGGAUUUGAAUUAGAUGGAAUAAAAGUAGUAGACUCUGUUUUCUCCUUCAGUUCAAAGUCUUCAAUGGUUUGAUCUUCAAAGAAGAUAACAUCUCUGCUUCUCACAAUUUUCUUCUCCUUUGGAUCCCACAACCUAUAGCCAAACUCAUCAUCUUCAGAUCCCAAGAAAAUACACUGCUUUGUCUUGCUGUCAAGCUUGGACCUUUCAUCCCUUGGAACAUGUACAAAUGCUCUGCAUCCAAACACUCUCAAGUGUGCAUAGGAAACAUCCUUUCCUUUCCAAACUCUAUCUGGAACAUUAAACUCAAGAGGAACUGAUGGAGAAAGGUUGAUCAUGGCAACUGCAGUCUUCAUUGCCUCACCCCAAAAGGACUUAGGCAGCUUUGCAUGAGAGAGUAUACAUCUAAUUCUUUCAACAAUGGUUCUGUUCAUUCUCUCAGCCACUCCAUUCUGCUGUGGAGUCUUAGGAACUGUCUUCUCCAACUUGAUACCCUGUUCCCUGCAGUACUUAUCAAAAGGACCUCUGUAUUCACCACCAUUGUCUGCUCGAACACAUUUAAGCUUUCUACCAGUUUCUCUUUCAACUCUGGCAUGGAAAUCCUUAAAGACAUCAAGCACCUGAUCUUUGGAUUUCAAACAAGUGGCCCAAAUCUUCCUGGAGUGAUCAUCAAUAAAACUAACAAAGUACAAUGCACCUCCAAGAGACUUAUCAAUCAUAGAGCAAACAUCAGUAUGAACUAAAUCAAGAACAUGUGACCUUCUAUGUGAAGGUGAUCUUUGAAAUGCAACUCUAUGUUGUUUACCAACUAAACAAUGAGUACAUGUGUUCAAGUUCAUACCUUUCAAUGGAAGGUAGUUCUUCUUGGCAAGGAUGCCAAGGCCUUUCUCACUCAAAUGUCCAAGCCGCUUAUGCCAUAGAUCAGUAGAGCAAUCUUCAAUUGCAUUCACCUCCCCUUUGAUCACCUUGGCUUGUGACAUGUAGAGACCCAUCUUCUUCCCUUUAGCAACAAUUAGGGAAUUUCUGGAGAGCUUCCAUUUACCAUCUCCAAAGUAACUAUGAUAGCCUUCUUCAUCAAGAGUACCUGUAGAGAUUAAAUGUAGGCGCAUAUCAGGCACAUGCCUAACAUCUUUGAGUAGCAACUUGCACCCAGUAUUGGUUUCCAACCAAAUAUCUCCAAUGCCCACAACACUAGCCAUCCCUUGAUUUCCCAUCCUAACUUGACCAAAGUCACCAGCAGUGUAGGAUGUGUAAAAAUCACGUCGGGGUGUAACAUGGUAAGAAGUUGCUGAAUCUGCAACCCAGGUGGUAUCUUGACAUGCAAGAUUAACACAGCCAUCAUCACACACAAUGGCAACAUCACCAUCAGAUACAACUGCAGCUGUACCAUUGUCUUCAUUCUUGUCUUCAUCUCUACCCUUUUUAUCUCUUUUAUACUUUCUGCAAUCUUUUUGCAUAUGUCCAGGCUUGUCACAAUAAUAACACUUGAAACCCUUUCUUGACUGAGAUCUUCCUCUUGGCUUCCAUUUGCCUUUUCUAUUGCUGAAUUCUCUAUCUUGCUUGUCAUGAGAGAACCUGCUUUGACUUCUCCCUCGACUUUCUGUAACAAGUGCAUGAGACUCGGAAAUGCUUGUCCCUUUCCUCCUCUUCUCUUCAUUGAGGAUACAAUCCUUCACUGUUUUCAAAGUGUGACCUCCACUACCACUGAGCUGAGAUGUACUCCCUCAUAUCCAGCAAGCAUGAUGAAGAUGUUGUGGACAAGGAAAAUAGGCAUGGAUAAAGAUCUUUUAACAUCCCACCACAUAACCAUUUGUCUGUCUAGAAAUGGAUGUGUCUGCCAUUACCAACCCGAUACCAACAAUUGUUCUUCAAAGCCUCUCCAUGUACAGAGUUUGUGCUGUUGAGAGAAUUUAUGGAUUGCCAUGUUUCUGAAAGAGGUGGAUGAAGAGUUGAUAGGCCAUUAGUGAAGGAAGCUUGAUACUUUUUACUGAUAAGCUCUUGCCAGCCUCCUAGAUUAUUAUCUCGUAGCCUUCAUAGCCAUUUAAAUAGCAACGCCUUGUUCUUGCCUUCUAGUGAACCAAUGUCUAAACCUUCUCUAUUCUUUCCCCUGACCACUAUCUGCCAUGCAACUUUAUAAAUUUUCUGAUCUUUUGAAUCCCCACACCAUAAGAAUCUCCUCUUAAUUGAAGUAAUGACCUUAGCAACUCUCUUUGGCAUAAGAAACAAAGACAUGUGAUAUAAGGGGAGGGUGGAUAACACUAUUUUAAUAAGACACAUUCUUCUUGCCAUACUUAAUAAGCAUCCUUUCAACAGGCAUAGUCUUGUAUGAAUGCUAUUUAUUAUAGGUUUCUAAGUGGAGAGUUAUUUCGGAUUUGCUCCCAAGUAAAGUCCCAUUUGCAAUAUAUUGCAUUUUUCAUUCCUGUCGUAUAUUCAUCAUCUAAAUUGAUUCCAACCAGUGAAUUUUUAUGGAAGUUGACUUUCAGACCUGAAGCCAACUCAAACCACCUCAAAUUCCUUUUAGCGGUUGAUAUCGAAUGGAAGUCGUUAGGACUAAACACUAAGGUAUCAUCUACAUAUUGCAAAUGACUCAAAUGCAUGCCAUUUCCACAAUUAAUUCUUUUACACAAGCCAUAAUUUGAAGCUCUCUUGAACAGAACUGAUAACCCUUCCACAGCUAUGUCAAAAAGAAAAGGCGAUAGUGGGUUGCCUUGACAUAGACCACGGUGGACUCCAAACUCCAUGCUUGGUGAACCAUUAAUAAGAAUUGAUAACUUAAAUCCCAUAAUGCAUUCAUGGAUUAGAGAAAUCAACCUCUGCUCAAAGCCCAUAUACGACAUCAUUUCCUCUAGAUACUCCAUAUUAUAGAAUGUGUGUGUGUGUGUGUGUGUGUAUAUAUAAGAAAUAUUAUGGGCACUAUUCUAGUGUUGUAAUCUCUACCUUUACUAUUAUAAAUUGCCCUACACAUAUAAAUAGAAAAUGAUUGGAUAACUAAUAGGUUAAGCCUCCUACUUCUUCUCAACUCUCCCAAACAACUUAUUCAAAAGCCUUAAGAAAGUCCACUUUCAUAACAAAACCAUGCUGCCCACUUUUCUUAACACUGAGUACAACUCCAUUUUCCAUCAUGAAACCAUCUAAAACCUACCAGAGAUGAAAGUUGUCUGGUUAGCACUAAUAAUGCUAGGCAUAACCUGUCUCAAUCUGUUGGAUAACAAUUUUUCAAUAAUUUUGUACAAGUCAUGCACUAAACUUAUCGGCCUAUACUCUGAAAACUUAGUAGGCAGUUUAGUCUUUGGGACCAAAGCUACAUGAGAGACAUUAACCCCCUUUAGAAAUUUUCCAAGCCUGAAAAAUUCAUGUACAAUGUAAAAAAUAUCAUCCCUAUCAGAUGCCAUGCUAUCUUGUAGAAGGUGAACGUAAACCCGUCAGGUCCUAAAGCUUUGGUCCCAUCACAACUCCAAAUUGCUUGCUUGACCUCUUCGAUAGUUACCUCUUAUUCUAGUUGUUGAACUUGUUAUGUGAAGAGUUUAGUGAACCCAAGUGGUCUCAUUGUAGCUCUAUCAGUAGUGUCAUUAGUGAACAGACUUGAGAAGGAUGACGUUGUCGCCUCCUUAAUGUCUGCUGGAGAGGUAUGUAGUUUAUCAUUAUAUCUGAUUUGAUUAAUAAAGUUUCUGCCUUUUCGAGUCUUAGCUGUCAAGUGGAAGAAUUUUGUGUUUUUACCCCUAAGCUUGCACACCAGGUCUAUCGUGAUUUUUUAUGCCAGAUUGAUUCCACACACUUGCAUCCCACUGCUUGGAUCGUAAUGUUUGUAGCUCAGAAAUUUCAUCAUUGUUAAGUUGUAUAUCCUCUGUUAUGUUCUCAAUGGUCUGGAUUUCAUGCUGAAGAUGUAGCAGUUUUAAGUCUUGAUUGUCGAACUCUUGGUUGUUCUAAAUUCUGAGUUUUGUAGCCAUAAAUGCCAUCUUUUUAACUAAUUGAACUCUCCCAUCAAACUUAAUGUCAUACCUGAACAUCACGGUGAUCGAUCAAAAAUAUUUUCUAAUGAAAAAAAAAAGAACAGAUAUCUAACAUCUUGUUCUUUUGGGGAAAAUGGUCUAGUUUAAGAAGUCGUCACCUAAUAUUAUGAUCACUAUGAACUUUAAUUAGUCAACAAAGAUUUUUUGGUACGGGACUAGUUACGCGAAAGGAAAUAUAUUAUUACGUCUUAAGCGUUCUACUUAAGGUAAGCCGCAUUACUGGUUUUGUUUUAAAUUGCUAAAGGUUUGUUUUUGUUCUGUUCUUAUGGUCUUCCUAUGAUAUUCCUGACUCUGACGUCAAUGAAUAUUCGCCUAUGAAUAUUUUCAACUUUGGUGUUGGUAAAUAUUGCGUAACCCAAAAAAUACGGUAUUCUUGACUCUAACACCAGUAAAUAAAUUCACAAAAUUCUGCAUUAAAAGAAACAGAAAUUAUUUUUUUUCUUUUUUAUCAUUUUUUUUGUUAUUUAUGUAGCCUGGUCUCAAAACUUAAAAAGGGGUCGGGUCACUGGUCCAAACCAGUGACCCGGCUGGCCACUGUUGCAUGCAUGUGUGAAUGGUUCACGCAUGCAUGCAACAGUAACCAGUUAAUUAUUUUAGCAAGCAAGGAAGGAAACUUACUUGGGCGUGCUGCUGCUGGAGCCGAAGUCAAGGGAGACGGUUGGGCGCUGCUCACGAUUGUCAAUCCAACAUGCUGCUCAUGAUGAAGUUGGGGUGUUGUCACGGAGGAGAUCUUCCAAACUGUUGCGGCACUUGAAGAUGAAGAUGACGAUGAUGGAGGGCUGGCCUACUGAAACCAUCUUCUUCUCCUCUGUUUUCCUUUCGUUCUUCCCUUGGUCUUCUUUCUGUGCUCUCCUUGUCUGUACUGUGCUCGUCCGUUUUCCUUCUCUCUCACUGGUUCUUUUUAUGCUUGUGCUGAGGACGUACGGAUGUCUACAACCGUGGCUGAAGAGAAACAACUGUUGUUGCUCACGGUGGUUGCUGCUCAAGUCACUGAAAUUCGUGUUGCCACUACUGAGAAGAGAAGGCUGCUGCUGGAAAUGCAAGGGUGUAGCUGAUGCUGAUGGCUGUUGUUUUAGGCGAGGAGGAAAGGAAAGACAGUAACUACUAGAAAAUUGAUAAAUACAAACAAAAAUUUUGAGGGAAUAACAGUGGGGAAAAAAAUUAAAACAAAGAAAAAAAAAUGAUGACGUGUUAUUUUUACUAACGGAAUUACCAAUGGAAUAAAUCUCGUCGGUAAAUUUUGUUGGUAAAAUCGUUGGUAAACUGUAAACACUAUUCAUCAUGUCAAUUACAAAGGGAAUCAUCGACGGAAACUUCCAUCGGUGGUAUUUUACAGGAGAGCUCUAGAACUAUUCACUUCCCAAUUGCACUGUUAAAUAUUAUUCUUUACAGACAAAAUCACCGACGGAUUGAAAAGUUAUCGGUGUUAUAUGACGGUUUUCUAAAAAAUCUAGCUUAAAUUAAAUAUUACCAGACGGAUUUUUUUUUAAUUGGUAUACUUUAUGAAUUUUGUUUCUCUCUUAUUAUCUUCACUUGCAACUACAUUAAGGUAAAAAACAAUUUCUUCUUUUUUCGUGUUUUUUUCACAAUAUUUGUUUUUUAUUUUAUUUUAAUUGUUUUUGUUCGUAAUAAUUGUUUGAAUAUUAUUGUAGGAUUUCUUUUUUCAUAUGAGAUCAAUUUUCAGUUGAUUUAUUUAUAGGAUUUUUAAAAAAAAAUUCAUAUGAAUUUUUUUAGUUGAAUUUAUUUGUUUGUGUUGUUUAUUUGUUGCAAAUUUGUUUGAGUUGAUUUUCUUCUUUUUUUCCAAGCAUUUUGAGUAUUAUAGAGUUUUGAUUAAUAUUAAUUUAAUUAUUUUAUAGUUUUGUAAAAUAAAUUUUUAAAAAAUAUUUUUAAAUAAUUACCGACGGAAUUAUAUACAGUAUUUUUCCGAGGGAAUUACCGACGGAAUGAAGUGGGUAAAAAUUUUUUUGCUUGUUUUUUCCAUCAGUAAAUCCAUCGGUAAUAAUAUUUUUUUAUUACCAACGGACUUACCGACAAACAAAAAAUUACUGACGGAGCAUUUCCGUCGGUGAUUUUGUUGGUAAAUUAAUUACCAACGGAAUAGUAGUGCAAAUACCGACGGAAAAUUUCAUCAAUAAAUUUAAAGAUUGUUUUAGUGGGUCCCCUCUGAUGUUGCUAUUGGCUUGCAUUUAAUUUAUCCCGGUUGCUGGAGUUGUUGAUGACGUUGUUGCUAAUCUUGACUGCAACCAACAUUGGGGAUGGAGCUCACAGUUGGAGGCAACGCUAUUGAUGGCUGAGGAUGGAGUCCUGCUGUUGUCAACAUGAACUAGCUUUACUGCCGUAUUUCUCAUAAAGGGGAGCCAACCUUGAGGGAUAGGGAUGAUGCUGUUGCUGUGGCGCAGAGAAGAAGUUCCUGCUGGACUGGAGGGAAAGAGGAGACGAAGGCCUCUCCUGCAACACCGGAUGAAAGCCUAUAUGGUGGCUAGUAUAGGGUUCGCCGCUACCUCUUCUCUUUCUUUUUUAUGUUUCUCUCUUUAAGGGUUUCUGAUAAUAGCCUCUCAUUAAGUUUGAAUUUGAUUAACAAUCAAAUUUGAAAACGAAUAAUUAACUUUAUCUUGAAGAUAAGAAUAAAAUAACAAAAACAUAUUGUAGUAUCUAAUUUUCAUAUAAAAGUUGAUAAAAAUUUUUUAUUAAAAUAUCUUUGAUAUUUUAAUUUUACCUUUUAAACCCUAUAAAAUUAAAUAAAAAACCAACAUGUCAAAGUUUCUCCAUGAAUAGAGGUUGGGAUACCCAGCAACUUAGAAAACGAAAUGGCUCCCAUCCCCACGUUUGGCAUUGCUGUCCUAAAAUAAUUGGACAGUGGUCAGACAACCCUCGUGGCAAACGACUCAUGAGAAGAAGGCCUGAGAAUUUUAAAUGGCAGUCUGGAGUGGCAAAGGCUCUAUCAAUUCUACUCAUUGAGGUGGCAUGAAAUCGUGUGUAUCGGUGGCCACUGAGGGAAUACUCCAAAAGGUUAGAGCUUGAGAUGAAACGUUUGAAAUCUGCAGACCCAAUUGCAUUCGAAAACCCACUAUUCCUUUCAUAUUGAUGCAAAGUUUCAUUGAAGUCCCCAACAAUGAACAUAGGUGUGCAAAUGCAGCUUGUAAGAUAAGAAGAUAAUCCCACAGUUCACGCCUCUCAUGUACUGUGGUUCCGGCGUAGACUCCUAUUAUUGCACAAUUAAAUUGCUUCUCCACGUGUUAGACCAAGAAGCGCUACCCAUUGCCCACCAUAUUCGAUUGACUAUCUAGAGCCUUCCGUGAAAUUGCAGGAAUGCAUUAUUUACAUCCAUUUACCAUAGCUUCUACGGAUUUUUAGCUGUUAAUGCAAUUAAUAUUCUCACAAUAGUUAUUUUUGCUACUAAACUGAAUAUUUCAUCAUAAUCUAAUCCAUACUGCAAGAACCCUCGAGCUACCGAACUUGCCUUAUAUAUUUUGAUCGAUCCAUCUGGACAUGUCUUCACCUUGUAACCCAUUUAUAAGAUAUGUGCUUCACGUCUAUAUAGGCUUCGACACUAAGUCUCAUGUCCGAUUUUCCAUUAGAGCAUGGAUCUCCUCAUCCAUUUCUUUCUUUCAUUCACUACUCUGUGAUACUUCUUCUUAAGUCAUAGGCUCUAUAACCUAAGCUUUCAAAGCUAAUGUUAUGUUAGCAUAUUUUGGAUUUAGUUUCCGUUGUCUCCUUGACCUUUUCACUUAUGACUGAUGUGUACCUUGUUCUUAAACUUUUGCUAUCUUGGUUACUCUUCUUUCGAAGAUAUUUGAUGAACACUAGUUUUCCAGGGGCUUGCUCGCAUUAUAGGAUUUUCUUGAUCAUCAAAUGUUGUAGACUCCUCCAUUUUUCAAGGUAUUUGUUACAUAUUUUAAGAUAUGAUUUAUAUUAUUUUCUAACACACCCCUUCAAGUGAAAGCCAUUUGAGCUUGAAACUUGCACAUGUUCACACCACAUUAUGCUUGAUUUUUAUCAAAUAAAUGGAGAUGAUGAGAUUUGAACUCGUGAUCACUUGGUCAUCAAGGCUCUGAUACCAUAUCAAAAAACCAAUUCAACCCAAUAGCUUAAACUGUUAGGUAAAGUUUCAAAUAUGAUUUAUAUUAUUCUCUAACACACCUUCACCUUUUCUAUUGGCCACUAGGAAGUUGCUUCAUCAAACAUGACCUUCCUCGCAGUGGUGGAGCCAAGAUUUUUUAAAUAAGAGAGCAAAUUACUAGCAAAUAUUUGAUAUUAUAUGCUAUACAAACAUGUGUUAUAUAAAGAAAUUAAUUUGAAAUAUAUGUACCAACUCAAGUCAAGUAAAAUUAAUUUAAGAAUACUUUUAAAAUAAAAAAACUUUAUAAUUGUUCUCUUCGAGAUUUUAUAUUUUAAACUGCUUUAUAAUGAUUUUAUUUUUAAUUUUUAUUUUUAAUCUCAUUAAAAAUAUCUUUCUCAAUAUAUACAAUAAACUUUCAUUUAUCUAUUUCUAAAUCUUCUAAAGACUAGGAAAGUUCUUGGCAACAAUUCUAUGUUGACAUAUAGUACAUAACAUCUAAAAUCAUAGCUUAAAAAGAUUGUCACAAAUUGAUGUUGUUCUUGCUAACUUAUUGUUUUAUACAAAUGGAUUAAACAUAAAUAUUAAAUGUUUUAUUUUUAAUUUAUAUAUUAUGAUAAUUUUUUGAAUUGUCUUGUAUUUUAUUUUUAAUCACUAGUAAAUUCAUCAUCAUCAUUUUUCAUAUGAAAUUCAUAGCAAAAUACUUAUCAAUUCAUCAAAACUCAUUUCAAUUCAUAUCUAUUAACAUAUAAUAUUACCCAUACACGUAUUAAUUCAACAAACCCAUAAAUUAUUAUAAACCCCAACAUUUUCAAUAACUAAUUAUAAAGAAAUAAAACUAAAAUUAGAUAAUGAAACAAAUAGAAAAAAUGAAGGAAAUAAAUUAGAUAAUGAAACAAAUAGAAAAAAUGAAGGAAAUUUUCCUUAAAUAUAAGAGGUUUGAAGAAAAAUUUUGUAGAAGAGAGAAAGACAUGGACAAUAAUGAAAAAAGAAAAAGAGUUUGGAUUAAUUAGUAGCUAAUAAAAAAAAUUAACCCUGUAAAGCUAUAAUAUUAAUAUUUUAAUAUAAAAAGAUACUUUAAAAAAAAAGAGAUUAAAGGGGCAAUUGCCCUCUCUUGAUCUAUUGUGGCCACUACACUACAAGAUUUAACAGUUUUACCAACGGAAUUUUUCCGUCGGCGUAAGACACAUAUUCCGUCGGUAAUUAAUUUUCCGACGGAAUCACAGACGGAAAUGCUCCGUCGGUGAAUCUUUCGUCGGUAAUUAUUUUUUCGUCGGUAAAUCUGUUGGUAAUAAAAAAAUAAAUUUAUCCGCUUCAUUUCGUCGGUAUAUCCCUCGGUAAUAAUAUUUUUUUAUUACCAACGGAUUUACCGAUGGAAUUGCCGUCGGUAAUUCCAUCGGUAAUUAUUUAAAAACAUUUAAAAAAAUUCAUUUUAUAAAAUUAUAAAAUAAUUAAAUUAGCAUAAAUUAACACUGUAUAAUAUAUACUCAAAAUGCUUGGAAAAAGAAUAAGAAAAUCAACUCAAACAAAUUUGCAACAAAUAAAUAAAAUGAAAAAAUAAAUUCAACUAAAAAAUUCAUAUGAAAAAAAUAAAGAUGCAAUUGCUAAAAAUUUAAAAAUCCUAUAAAUAAAUUAACUAAAAAUUGAUCUCAUAUGAAGAAAAAAUCUCACAACAACAUUUAUACAAUUAUUAAGAACAAAAACAAUUAAAAAUAAAAUAAAAAACAAAUAUAGUGAAAAAAAUCAUGAAAAAAGAAGAAAAAAAAUCUUACCUUAAUGUAGUUGCAAGUGAAGCUAAGGAGAGAAAAAAAUAUUUCGUUAAGCAUAUUAAUUAAAAAAAAACUAAGAGGAUAAAAGAAGAAAGAAGAAGAAGACAUACCCAAGCAUGAAGGAAAAGAGAAGGAGAUGAGGAGAGAAAAGAAGAGAAAGAAAUAUAUAUUGAUGUUUUUUACAUAUAGCGAAGAAGAAGAAGAAGAAGAAGAAGAAGAAGUAGAAGAACAAGAAGAAGAAAUGAGUCUGUCUCUUGUGAAAUAAGGGGAUUCAUGCUUUUUAUUGGGGCGCGUUACCGACGGAUUUACCGACGGAUAAUUGAAUAUUAAUAUUUUUUAAUUAUUCCGUUGGUAAUUCCAUCGGUAAUAUUUAAUUUAAAUUUUCAAUUUCAUAAAAAUUUUUCAGAAACCGCCAACAAUUACCGACGGUUUUUCAAUCCGUCGGUGAUUCCGUCUGUAAUAUUUAAAUGAAAAUUUUAAAUUAAUUGAAUUUUUUCAGAAAACCGCCAAAUAACACUCUCUGGAAAAUACCGACGGAAAAUUCCGUCAGUGAUUCCCUUUGUAAUUGAGAUGAUGAACAGUGUUCACAGUUUACCGACGGAAUUACCAAGGGAAUUUACCGACGGAAAAUUCCGUCGGUAUUUCCGUCGGUAAUUCCGUUGGUAAAAAUGACACGUCAUCUUUUUUUUUUUGCUUUGUUUUAAAUUUUUUUCCCACGGUAAUUCCGUCGGUAUAUACCGAGGGAAUAUUUCCGUCGGUAAAAUCCCUCGGAAAUUUACCGAUGAAAAUAUUCCCUCGGUAUUUCUGUUUGUAUUUAUCAAUUUUCUGGUAGUGGGCUCCGUCACUGCUUUCUCGAUACCAUACAUUUUAUUGGUACUGGGAUUGCAACAUUUCCAUGCUUUUCGUUGCUCAUUUUAAACCCAAGAAUAUGCAAUGAAUCACUUUCUUAUCUAAUUUUCUUCGAAGAAUAUCGGGCAUGAACACAUAUCAUACAUAUCCAAACACUCUAAAGUAACACAUCUUUGCCCUUAUGCUCGUAACUUUUCACAUGAUGUGGUGAAUCUAAGAUUUGCUUAGGUAAGCCUAUUGAUAACAUGUGUAGCUGCCUUCAUGCACUCACCUUAGAAUCUCCUUGGAACAUUCUUGACAUGUAGCAUACGUCUACAAGUUUUCGCUAAGUGCCUAUUCUUUCUCCCCGCUACUCUAUUUUGAUGGGGCCCUGCUGGACAAGUAAGUUGUCGACAAAUACUGCAUACUCUUAGAUAGUUAUUGAGUUCUUCACAAGUGUCACGUUAUCUGUACUAAGUAUUAUAGAAUGUGUUAGAAUAGGAAAUAUUGUAUUAUUAAUGUAUUGACUUAUCGUAUAUAGCAUACUAUACUGUAAUAGAUGUACUGUUUUAAUUAUAUAAAUAGCAGAGGUGGUUAUCUCAUUAGCUCAAGCCUCUCAAUUAUCACAAACUUUGUUGCAACUUGAUAUCAGAGCCAAUUUAUCUUCACAUAUUUAUUCUUCAAACAGCAGCCCCUCUACUACUUCUCUGCAACAAAAUCAUCUCCUCUGUUUGUUGUCUAUUUCUACUCCUCCAUCAGCUAAUUAUUCUUCAAACGACAGCCCCUCUAAUUAUUUUUUAUUACUACUGCUUCAAACAAAAUCCAUUAGCAACGAUAUUGCUUCUCUGCAACGCUGACUUUCUGCCUCAUGAUCAGCGUGUUAAUUACUUGCUUCAUUGUGCUAUUGUUUUUUCUGUUAAUUACUGCAUUGUUGUUACGAUGUCGCGGUCACACAAAUUAAUUACCCUAACUUAAAAUACAACACACAAGAUAAUAUAGAGCAAAUAAGGGGUCGAUCCCACGAGGAAAGUUCGAGUCAGAUUUUUAUGCUGUAUGAUAUGCAACUGGGGGGUUGUGAAGUUAUCUAGGUUAAAGCAAAAGAAAACAAAAAAAUACCAAGCAAAAUUAAAUAAAAUCAGAAAAUAAUCAAUAGAACAAACCUUGGUCACAAGUAAACGUCCACCUACAGAAAUCAGAACUGAUCAUGGAAACAAAACAUCAAUUUAUAUUCCGAAUAUUUAUCUCUUCUUAACAUUGGUUAGUUAAUGGAUCCGCUAUAUAACUAACCCUAGUCAUCAAACAACCACAGUGUCCGCACUAGUAAUUUAAUUAAAUGGCAGCCUUAAGAACUAGAUAAGUUAAUUAAUCAAGAAAAAAUAACUAUCUGCAGUCUAUGUUUGAUUUGAUUGAAUAUUCUCCUUAAGAUUAAUAACAUAGAUCCAUCACAAUUAUUAAACUCAGUUGCUUCACAAGUUCAUAUACCACAACUCCGGUUUUGAUAUCAAACUUAGCAAUAAAUUGUCUACAAUAAUAACUUAGAGUCCGCUCUAGCAAUUAAAAUAAACAAUCAUAGAAAAAAUAAGCGUAGGAGAACAAACAUAUUCAUCAUAUAAACUGGAAAGAAAAGGUAAAAUAAAUCUCACAGUUCUUGAAAUCCGAAGGUUUUUGUGUUCUUGCAACCAAGAAAAAGAGUUUAGCCUUGCAUGUUUGUUGAAAAACUAAUCAAAAAGAAGGAGGAAUGCAUGAUUUCGGGUUUCUUAGAGGAAAGGGGUGUUUUUCUCUUCUUUCCAGCCUGCCUCUCUUCUCUUCUCUCAUUCUUUUUAUAUCCUAAGAAACCUAGUCUCUAUUUUACAAAAUAGUCCUCCCUUAAGUAGAUAGUUUACAUUUAAGUACUUCAAUAACUAUUUUCCUAAAAAAAAGAAAUAUCCUUGCAUGAAAUCUUCAAUCUUUGACUUAGAGGAGCUAAAUUGGUGAAACAAAAACUUGAAUGUCGGUUUAAAUGCCCCUUAACGUAAUUUGGACUCGUUUCUUCACGAAACUUGUUUGCUGGCAGAAUUAAGUUGUGAUCUUUGAAAAAUCAUAUCUCCCUCAUAUGACAUUGUUUUUUGAUGAAAGUUGGAGUGUUGAUAUUUAUUUGAGUCCAGAAUCCAAAAACAUUGAGUUUGCAUCAAUUGGAUUUUUGUAACUCAAGAUAUUCAAGUUGGAAUGGCUGAAGGUCAAUACCAGCAGAUUGCAAGAUUUGACUUUGAAGGUUGCAAUUUCCAUAUUCUUCCUUAUUUUAUUUUCUUGGCUUAGAUUUCCAGAAAGGUAUGGAUGUUAGCUUUUUAUUCCACUGGAAUCACUUCAUUUUGACCUCUAGAACUCACACUCUGCACAAAACAUCUAUUGAAGGUCAAAUCUGCCAAUUACCUUUAAUUUACUCAUUUUUACAUCUUUCAUCCAAAAGUGCCUUCAAAACAUAAAACAAAAAAUAUUAAGGCAUUUUAUAUAAAACAAAACAUAAGCAAAACACUAUGUAAAUGUGUGUUGUUAUCCAUUUUUGGGUUCCCGCACAAAAAAUAAAAAAAAUACAUAUUAGAAAAUAUAUUCGGAAGGAAUCCAAAAAAAUAAUAUGAGUGAGAAAAGGAUGUUGGAACACCCAUAAAAUGUCUAGAAAUUGGUUGAGGAGGUUCAAAAAUACAAGAAUUGAAAUUUGACAAUAUAUUUUCAAGUGGUGAGAGCCUUGUUUACAAGGAAAAUUUAAUUUUUGAGGAAGAAAAGUCCAAAAUCAGAUGUUUAUGGACUUAAUUAAAUUUUAUCUAAGGUUUAAUUGAAUUUAUGGAGGGUUUGGUUACAAGAAAUAUUGAUUUUUAAGUCAAUUUAAGCUUUUAUUGGAAGAAAUUAAAGUUCUGAGAGCCAAUUAUAAUUUUAAAGAGUUGAUUUGGUCAAAUUAGGGGCUUAAUUGCAUAAUUAUUGAAGUUUGAUGGCCAAUUAGGGACUUAAUUGAAACAAUCCAAAACCAAUUACCAAACUGGAAAAGGCGCUCAAAUCAAGGGAUCCAAUUACAAUUUUUCUGGGGUCUUGAUUAUAAACUUGCAAAAACAUCCAAGGACCAAAUCAGAAAUAUCAUUUAAAGUUGCAAAACGGUGUCGUUUCACUGAACACUGCUCACUGUCGUUACGUGCAGCUGGCCGAGAGACGUUGCAGCAGCGAAGGCGUUGAUUUGCUUCAAUCAAUGGGGCAUGUUUCAUGGCUGAUAUCUCUCGCCACCAUGAUGCACGCCGGCCGUUACUCUGUCCCUGCAACAACAAAUGAAAACGCCUGCAUCCUCUGGCUAUAAAAGCUAGAGGAUGUACUGAACAGAAGGAGAAAAAAAAAGGAACGAGACAGAGGAAAGAAAAAACAGAGGGAGAGGGGAACGUAAAGAAGAGAAAACAGAGGGAGGAAGAGCGUAAGAAACUAAAAAAAAGCAGUAAGAGAAGAAAGCAGAGAGAGGAGAAUAGAGGAGAGCAAACAGGAAAAGAAAGAAAAAGAGAAAGAGAGAGAGAGAGGAGAGUGAACGAAAAAAAAAACAGAGGAACACAUUAGCAACCUAAAGCAGAGAACGCAGAUAGCAAAAGAGGUCAGCACCAUCAUCGUCUUCAUCUCUCCAGCACCAGGUAUGUUCACUUCCCUCCUCAGUCCCUGUAAUAAAAAGCGUCAUAGUAACUCUGCGCCAACGUUUCUGGUUUUCAUCAAGCAUCACUUCUUCUUUCUUUUCACAUAAUUUCCAACCAUAAUUCCAUGAUAUAUCACAAGUAUAUGCUCUACUAAUCCUUGGCCAGGGUAAAAGAGAAAAACAUAUAAAAAGUUAAGGCUUAUACAUGGAUAAAGCAAAGAAAAGAUAAACAAGCUCAAAAGGGCUCACUAAGGAUAAUAUGUUUUAGGUUGGCUUUUUGGCUCAAGUGAUUGAAAUUCCUAAUGCCUUUGUCAUCUUCAUAUAUAUAUGUAAUGCGAAUGUAAUCUCAACAAGAUAUGAAGCAAGUUCUAGAGAUACAUAUCAUUGAAAGAAUGCACAAUCAAAGAAUAUAAUGUUGAAGGCUCAAAAGCUUGCAUUGGUAUAACAGUAUAAAGUCAACAUGACAUAUUUUCAAAGUCAAUCCUUAAACCAAUUACACAUUAAAACUUGCAUGCACACUCAUUCAUUAGAUUUAUAUCUUUAUCUAUCUCAAUUAAUUCUCAUGCAUAAUACUCAUAUUCUCAUAAACCAAUGGGAGUUCAAAAAAAUCAAACAUAGAAUUUUUUUUUUUUGAAAAAUAACAAAGAAAACCAAAAUUCCCUUAAUACCCCCACACUUUAAACACAACAUUGUCUUCAAUCUUGAAAUAAAAGAAAAGGAAUAUAGGAGAAUGACAAAAAUAAAGUAAAAUGUGAAAAAUAAAAGAUAAGGGAAAAAGAAAGCAAAUAUGAUUUUUUUUUCUUUUUGUGAUGGGUUGCCUCCCAGUAAGCGUUUUUGUUUUAUAUCAUUGGCUCAACAUGUGGCAUACUUAUUCUUCAUAGAUUGGUUUUGCUAAAUCCACAGAAGCGGUGAGUUCUGUCGUCCAACCUUCAAAGAAAGGUUUCAAGCGAUGCUCAUUGACCUUAAACACUUUGUUUGUUUCUAAACUUGUAAUUUCAAUUGCACCAUAAGGAAAAAUAUUAGAAACAACAAAGGGUCCAAUCCAACGAGAGCGCAACUUUCCAGGAAAAAGUUCCAAACACGAAUGAUAAAGAAGGACUUUGUCUCCAACAUUAAACUCUUUUCUUUGCAAAUCCUUGCAUUCUUAAGCAUCAUUUCAAAUCUCUUCUAACUCUUGUAAUAGCAACUUUCUUGCAAUCCCAGCAGCAUCAUAAUCCAUGUUACAUUUUUUAAUGGCCCAAAAAGCUUUGUGUUCAAGCUCCACCGGUAGAUGACAUGUUUUCCCGUAAAUCAUCCUAUAAGGUGACAUUCCUAUAGGUGAUUUGUAAGCAGUCCGAUAAGCCCAAAGUGCAUUACCAAGUCGUAGACUCCAAUCUCACCGGUUAGGUUGCACUAUCUUCUCCAAAAUGGAUUUGAUUUCUCAAUUUGAAAUUUCAGCUUGGCCAUUCAUUUGAGGAUGGUAUGUUGUGGAAGUUCAAUGAGUCACAUGUAUUUGUGUAACAAUGUUUCCAUUUAACGAUUGCAAAAAUGAGUGCCAUGAUCACUAAUGAUAGCUUUAGGGAUUCCAAACCUAUCAAAUAUGUGAGUCCUGACAAAAUCUAAAACAACCUUAGCAUUGUUAGUUCAUGUGGCUUUCGCCUCAAGAAGGAUAUAAAGAUUGCCUAAAGAAGAAGGAAAUGGACCCAUAAAAUCAAUACCUCAAACAUAAAAAAUUUCACUUACAAGAAUAUUCGUUAAAGGCAUUUGAUUCUUAUGAGUGAUAUUACCUGUUCUUCGGCAUUUUUCACAUGAUUUUCAAAAAUAAUAUGCAUCCUUAAAAAUAGAAGGCCAAUAAAAACCACUUUCAAGUACCUUAUGGAUCGUUUUUUUUUCUCCAAAAUGCCCACCACAAGAAUGAGAAUGACAAAAAGUGAGAAUGGAAUGAAAUUCAUCCUGUGGUACACAUCUCCUAACUAUUUGAUCCACACAAAAUUUUCACAAAUAGGGGGUAUCCCAAAAAUAAUAUUUAGCAUCAGCUAGUAACUUGUUUUUUUAGGAUGUAGACAAACCUGAAGGGAAUUCUUUGGUGACUAAAUAGUUCACCAAAUUAGCAUACCAUGGUCUUGUAGAGGAAUAUAACACAUACAACUGCUCAUCGGGGAAUGUCUCUCUUAUUGUUUUGGUUUGUAUAUCCUCGGUCCUUAGUCGACUCAAGUGAUCAGCCUCUUGGUUUUCAACACCUUUUUUUUCUUUGAUCUCAAGAUCAAUUUCUUGUAAAAGCAAGAUCCACUUAAUCAAUCUUGGUUUGGACUCCUUUUUCUUCAAAAGAUACCUCAAAGCUACAUAGUCAGUAAAAACGACUUUUAUACCAAGUAAAUAUGACAUGAAUUUUUCUAGAGCAAAUAUCAUUGCAAAAAGUUCCUUUUCAGUUGUAUGGUAAUUGCAUUGCGCUCCGUCCAACAUGUGGGAAGCAUAGGCUAAACAUGCAAAUUCUUACCAAUUCUUUGCCCAAUUACAACCCCUAUCGCAGAGUCAAUCGCAUCACACAUUAUCUUGAAAGGCUCAUCCUAGUUUGGUGGUUGCAUGAUAGGGGUAGAUGUGACAUGCCUCUUGAGCUCAUCAUGGACAUCUUUACAUGCUUGAUAAAACACAAAAUCCACUUCUUUCACUAAUAGUUUGCACAAGGGUGUUGUGAUCUUCAAGAAAUCUUUGAUAAAGCGUCGAUAGAAACCUGUAUGGCUCAGAAAAGAACGAACUUCCCUCACGCAUGAGGGGUAAGGAAAUAAUGAAAUAAUGUCUAUUUUAGCUUUAUCAACCUCUAAUCUACAUGAAGACACAACAUGUCCAAGAACUAUUCCUUGUUCUACCAUAAAAUAACACUUUUCAAAAUUCAAGACAAGGUUAGUUUCAAUGCACCUUUUCAAAAUUAAAGAUAAAUUUUCUAGACAUUUAUCAAAAGUGUCGCACCCGACAUCGCGGCGGCCUUAAAAAUUAUUAAAUCUUUGGAAAGAACGGAUUUCUGGCAUCCUGUUCUUUAAUGCGGAAUGGUCUUGUUUAAGGAGUCGCCACCUAGUAUUAUGGUCACUAGGAACCCUAACUGGUCAACAGAGAUUCUAUGGUUCGGGACUGCUACGUAAAAGGAAAGAUAUUAUCACUCCUUAAAUGUUCUGCCUGAGGCAGGCUGCAUUGCUAGUUUUGUCUUAAAUUGCUAAAUAUUUAUUGGUUUAUGCUCUGAUGGUUUACUUGCAAUAUUCCUGACUCUGGCGCCAGUGAAUAUUUAACUACGAAUAUUUCCAACUCUGGCGUUGGUAAAUAUUACGUAGGUACCAAAAUAAAUAAAUUUAAAUCAUCAUUUUCCUUUUUUAUUCCUGACUCUGGCGUCAAUAAAUAAACAAAUAAAAAUCAAUUUAUUUUUAUACAUACGCAUUUUUAUUUUUAUGUAGCUAAAUAAAAGCAAAAUACAAAUAAAAAAUUAAAUAUAGUUGACAAUGGGGUUAAGACAAAAAGAAUCACCAUACACUGUGAAAUCAUCCAUGAAAACUUCAAUUAUUCUUUAAACAUAGUCAGAAAAAAUACUCAUCAUGCAUCUUUGAAAAGUUGCAGGUGCAUUACAGAGACCAAAUGACAUUCUCCUAUAUGCAUAUGUACCAAAUGGACAUGUAAAUGUAGUCUUUUCUUGAUGUUCAGGAUUAAUAACAAUCUGAUUAUAUCCAUUAUAUCUAUCAAGAAAGCAAUAAAAAGACUUACCUGUCAGGCGUUCAAGCAUUUGGUCCAUGAAUGGUAAUGAGAAAUGAUCUUUGCGUGUAGAGAGAUUAAGCUUUCUAUAAUCAACACACAUUCUCCAUCCACUCAAGAUGCGAGUAGUAAUGAGUUCCUCAUUUUUGUUCUUUAACAACGUGAUCCUGAUCUUUUUGAGCACCACAUGGAUAGGCACCACCCAUUUACUGUCCAUGAUGGGGUAAAUGACUCCUGCAUCUAAUAGUUUCAAAAUCUCAGCUUUCACUACCUCCAUCAUAGGCGGAUUCAACCUCCUUUGCAUUUCCCUCAUUGGUUUUGCAUUGUCCUCCAAUAAUAUGUGAUGCAUACACAUGGAGGGACUAAUGCCUUUGAUGUCGGCUAAAGUCCAUCCAAUUGCCGUCUUGUGAUCACACAACAACUUCAUAAUUUUUUCCUCUUGCGCCCUUGUCAAAUCUUUUGCUAUGAUAACGGGAAGUGUGUUGUUGUCGCCAAUGAAUACAUACUUCAAAUUAUCGGGCAAAGGUUUUAAUUCUAACUCAGGGGCCUGUAAAAUAGAUGGCAAAAGCUUUUUAUGUGAAAGUACUAAAUCAACAAAGACAUUACCAUAAGGAAUGGUUUGCAAAGCUUGCAAAGCCAAUGCUGAUUCGUGCAUGUUUUGGGGAACACAUGUGCCUCUCUAUCUCUUUUAUCUUGGUAAAAUCAUAGCCAUAACUCAAAGUCAUGCUUAAUUCGUUCUCACGGUCAUAAUAAAAAACUUGUCGCACACACUUAUCAACUUGGUCAUAGCAUGUGAUAGAAUAAACAUUGUUGUAUGGAUAUUUCAUUGCAUCAUGAAAAUUAAAUUCAAUUUCUUCAUCUCCUACCUCCAUAGACAAAGUAUCCUAACCACAAUCAAUCUUUGUAUUGGCAGUUUUCAAGAAUGGUCUCCCAAACAAUAUAAGAGUGUUGUUUGAUGAAUCACAAGAGUCCUGUUCCAUAUCAAGAAUAUAAAAGUCGCAUGGAGUAACCAAACUAUCAAUCUUGACUAGAACAUCUUCUAUCACACUAAGUGGAUAAACAAAACUAUGAUCCGCAAGUUGUAUUACAAUACUAGAUUUAUUUGAGCUCCAAACUAAGAGAAUCAUAAACAUGUUUAGGCAUAACACUAAUGGAUGCACCUAAAUCGCAUAAAGCCCUUUUAAAACUAGCAUUACCAAUAACACAUGGGAUAGUAAAUACACUUAGGUCUUUUUGCUUCAAAGGCAUAUUCUUUUGAAGAACAGCAGAUACAACUUCACCCAUACUUACUAUUUCAUGACCUUUCAGUUUGAAAGCUCUCUUGGUAGUACACAACUCCUUCAAAAAUUUGGCAUACUUGGGAAUUUGCUUGAUAGCAUCAAGUAAAGGAAUGUUGAGUUCUACUUUCUUGAAAACCUCUAAAUUAUCUUUUUCUUUGUCCUCUUUCUUUGACCUAGAAGAACUCACAGAAAAGGAUGGAAUUGUUUUAAAACUAGAAUUCAUUGACUGACGAGUUACCUUUGGAGUGUUGGUCGUUGUUUCAUUUUGUGGAGGAGAAGGGUGUUUCUUCUUUGUACUCAAUUUGGUUUCUAUCUCUUCUUCUUCCUCCAUCUCAAUUUGUUUCAACCUUUGCCUUUCAAGUUCUUUCCCACUUCACAGCAUGAUUGCACUAACAUUCUCUUUUGAAUUCAAUGCUUGGGAAGGCAAUUUUCCAUUCAUUUGUGCUUCCAAUUUCCCCACACUUGAAGCUAUUUGCUCCAUUUGCUUCUCCAAAUUAUGAAUACUUAACCUUGUUCUUGUUGAAAAGACAUGACGUUUUAUUGCAAGGUCAUUGUAUUAAAAGCUAAUGUCUUCGUCAUCUCAUAAAGAUCAUCAUUGGAUGACGAACCCAUAACAUUAGAGUUUGUGAAUGGAGGGGGCGGUCUCACUUGAUAAUUCUGCUAAGGCUAAAAUCCAUGGGGAUGGAAUUGUCGGCCUUGAUUGCCUUGUUGAGGCAGGUUCCCAUAGCGUAAGUUUGGAUGAUCUCUCCAUCUGGGAUUGUACAUGUUGGAAAAGGGAUCAUAGUUACGCUAGGGUUAGCCGUUGAAUCCUCCAUCAACUGCAUGAACUUGUUCAAUAUAAUCUUCUUGUAUUGUUGGGCAUAUAUCUGUGCUAUGUCCUUGUAAGGAACAUAUGCUACAAACUUUCACUUGUUGUACAUUUCCAUAAGCCAAAGAGCGCAUAAGAGAAGUAAGAUCAUUAACUUUAUUUUCAAUGUUAGAAAUACUUACCUCAUUUACUCGUUUGUUUGAGAUGUCUCCACGGGUGCCAAACUGUUUUGAGUUGGCUAUCAUGUUUAAGAUCAAUUGGCGUGCACCCUCUGGUGUCUUGUCUACCAAUGCCCCUCCAUAUGCAGCAUCAAUGAUACUACGAUCAGUAGGCAUCAAUCCUUCAUAGAAAUAUUGAAUGAGCAGCUGACCGGGUAUUUAAUGAUGAGGGCAUUGGAUGCACAGUUGCUCAAAUCUUUCCUAAUAUUCGGAGAGUGUCUCGCCAUAAGAUUGCCGAAUCCCACAUAUUUCUUUCCUUGUGUUGGCAACUUGAGAUGCUAGGAAAUUACUUCUCAAGGAAGAUCUUCUUCAUGGCAUUCCACGUUCCAAUGGAACCUGGGAGAAUAGAGAAAAGCCAUGCCUUUGCUGCCCCUUUUAAAGAGAAAGAGAAAGCUUUCAACUUAACUUGUUCUUCAUCAACUCCAUUCAGUUUCAUGCCAACGCAAACCAUAUGAAACUCCUUAAGAUGAGUAUGGUUGAUUUUCCAUGUUAGGAGCAGCAAGCUCUAUGAGUGUUUGUUAUCAUGCAAUAGCCUUAGUGUUGACGCGAGCUUCGUUUCAUAACCUGAGUAAAGUGUUUUCUAUUUUGAGAUCCACAUGUACUUGACUCUGGUUAAUAGAACGGGUUACAGGCAUAAAUCAUCAAGAAAACUCAAAAGAAACUAACCACACAAGAGAUCGAAAACAAUGCAAAUUGUACGAAAAUCCUAUCCUCUCUCCCGUUCUCUCUUUUUCUCUUAUUUUUCUGCUCCCUUUUUUUGCUAUUUUUUUGCUCUCUUUUUGCCGCCCCUUGCUAGGUCAUUAAAGGGGUUUAUAUAUAGUCUAGAAUAUCUCUAUUUAGGAAAGAUUUAAUGCAUUAAUUCUAGGACGUAAAUCCCUACUGAUUUGCAGUAAAAAAACGCAAAAGGAAGCUGCAAUAUUCUGAUUUUGUGCUGGUGCUUUACGUCUGAUUUCUUUCCAAUUUUAGAGGAGGGUGUGGCUAUUUUCUUUCCUUCCUUUCAUAGGGCCAGCUGCUCCCUUUCAAAUGAGGCAAGAAAAAACGUGGUUGCAGCUCCAAAAUUCAGGCAUGAUGAUAAAGGAAAAACAGCAGGAAUUUGCAGCGAAAAAAAGGAAAGAAAUCAGAUGGAGGGUGCAGCUGCAAAGUCUCAUUUUCCUUAUUCGGUGUGGAAAAAAUCCUGUCAUUUAUGAUGAUACAGCCCCCUCUCCAGCUUUCAAUAUCCUUCUUCAAUUCAAUCCCUCAUUUUAACAAUUUUUGAUUCAGUCCUGGGUCCAAAAAAAAUCCUUCGAAUCAGCCCCGCGAAUUGGGCUAUAUCCUUCCCGCGGCAGAAUUUUCUAUCCUCACGUUAGAUAUUCAAAAUGGGAAUAUCUUGAGCUUCUGAUAUCGAAAUCAAGUGAUUCAAAAGCCCAAAUUCAUCUACAUGUCUAGGACUAAAACUUUAAUGAAGAAGUCGAAGUGAGAUAAAAUCUUUUUACAGAACAGAAACUGGCAGUAAUCUAGUUGGUCAAAAGGAAUCUCCGGGUCUAACUCAAAAACUGAGGAAUGUCGAGAAUCCUGAUAUGACUGAGAGUAUGAACUAAGAACGAAAAUCACAAAAACUAGGCCAAAAAUAGAGUUUCUUUAGUGUAGACUCGGGUCAAUAUCCUUCUCGCGGCAGAAUUCUCUGCCUUCACGUUAGAUAUUCAAACGGGAACAUCUUAGGCCUCUGAUAUCAAAAUCAAGUGAUUCAAAAGCCCAAAUUCAUCUACGCGUCUAGGACUACAACUUUGAUGAAGGAGUUGAAGUGAGAUAAAAUCUUUUUACAGAACAGAAACUGGCAGUAAUCUAGUUGGUCAAAAGGGAUCUCUGGGUCUAACUCAAAAACUGACGAAUGCCGAGAAUCCUGAUAUGACUGAGAGUAUGAACUAAGAACAAACAUCACAAAACUAGGCCAAAAAUAGAGUUUUUUUAGUGCAGACUCGGGUCAAUAUCCUUCUCGCGGCAGAAUUCUCUACCUUCACGUUAGAUAUUCAAAUGGGAACAUCUUGAGCCUCUAAUAUUGAAAUCAAGUGAUUCAAAAGCUCAAAUUCAUCUACGCGUCUAGGACUACAACUUUGAUGAAGGAGUCGAAGUGAGAUAAAAUCUUUUUACAUAACAGAAACUGGUAGUAAUCUAGUUGGUCAAAAAGGUUCUUGAUCUGACAAUACUGAGCAUCCAAAUCUAAAUGAGAAUCUGCUCUAAGAACAAUGAUCCCUAGGACCUAAUAAAGGUGUACGUCAAUUUUUCAAUAUGUAAUGAGUGACAGGAUAUACCUAGGAUGGUCAGAUAUCGUAUGAAACUGAGUCAGAAUCAGAGCCUAAGUUGGAACCAAAAAAAAUUGCGACAGCAGCAGAACUAUUUUUUUAGUGCAAAUUCUGAGGGAUUUAUUCAACUUUAAAGACCAGAUAAAAAAUAAUGAAUUUAGCAUUAUGAAGACUCCUGAUCAAACUAAGAAAACCUGAUGAUUUUGGUAGUAAAGGGGAAGGAUAAAAAGAGCAGAAAACAACUCAAACAAGGUUUCAAAAUAUUUCUUUAUGUGCCUUUGUCAAUCUUUUGGUGAAUAUGAGCUAAUCUCCUACACUCUGUUCAAAAGAGGUAUACACUGUCUUCAGCACGUGGGGUCCAAAAUUGAGUAACAACAGUUGCCCCCUCUUUACAAUGCUUACGAAGCAAAACUUGUCAAGCGCUUCGCGUAGUAAGUGUUGUAAAGAUAAACCAUUUGAUCCUGCUAAAUCUCACUGCUUUUCCUAAACAAUGGUCUCCCUAUCAGAUGACCUGCUUAUUUAAGAUUUCUAGAAAAACUUCAAUUUUUUUUGAAAUGGUCUGAUUAUCGGGUGACCUGCCCAUCUUAAGAUUCUUUGAAAACUCCACGCUUUUCUAAGAAACGGUCUCAAUAUCAGGUGACAGGCCCAUCUUAAAAUUCUUAGAAAACUCCACGCUUUUCUAAGAAACGGUUUCAAUAUCAGGUAACCGGCCCCUCUUAAAAUUCUUUAGAAAACUCCACGCUUUUCUAAGGAAUGGUCUCAAUAUCGGGUGACCUCUUAGAAAACUCCACGCUUUUCUAAGGAAUGGUCUCAAUAUCGGGUGACCUGCCCAUCUUAAGAUUCUUAGAAAACUCCACGCUUUUCUAAGAAACGGUCUCAGUAUCAGGUGACCGACCCAUCUUAAAAUUCUUAGAAAACUCCACGCUUUUCUAAGAAACAGUUUCAAUAUCAGGUAACCGACCCCUCUGAAAAUUCUUUAGAAAACUCCACGCUUUUCUAAGAAAUGGUCUCAAUAUCGGGUGACCUGCCCAUCUUAAGAUUCUUAGAAAACUCCACGCUUUUCUAAGAAAAGGUCUCAAUAUCAGGUGACUGGCCCAUCUUAAAAUUCUUAGAAAACUCCACGCUUUUCUAAGAAACAGUUUCAAUAUCAGGUAACCGGCCCCUCUUAAAAUUCUUUAGAAAACUCCACGCUUUUCUAAGGAAUGGUCUCAAUAUCGGGUGACCUGCCCAUCGUAAGAUUCUUAGAAAACUCCACGCUUUUCUAAGAAAUGGUCUCAAUAUCAGGUGCCCGGCCCAUCUUAAAAUUCUUAGAAAACUCCACGUUUUUCUAAGAAACAGUUUCAAUAUCAGGUAACCGGCCCCUCUUAAAAUUCUUUAGAAAUCUCCAUGCUUUUCUAAGGAAUGGUCUCAAUAUCGGGUGACCUGCCCAUCUUAAGAUUCUUAGAAAACUCCACGCUUUUCUAAGAAACGGUCCAAUAUCAGGUGACCGGCCCAUCUUAAGAUUCUUAGAAAACUCCACGCUUUUCUAAGAAACGGUCCAAUAUCAGGUGACCGGCCCAUCUUAAAAUUCUUAGAAAACUCCACGCUUUUCUAAGAAACGGUUUCAAUAUCAGGUAACCGGCCGCUCUUAAAAUUCUUUAGAAAAAUCCACGCUUUUCUAAGGAAUGGUCUCAAUAUCGGGUGACCUGCCCAUCUUAAGAUUCUUAGAAAACUCCACGCUUUUCUAAGAAACGGUCCAAUAUCAGGUGACUGGCCCAUCUAAAAAUUCUUAGAAAACUCCACGCUUUUCUAAGAAACGGUUUCAAUAUCAGGUAACCGGCCUCUCUUAAAAUUCUUUAGAAAACUCCACGCUUUUCUAAGGAAUGGUCUCAAUAUCGGGUGACCUGCCCGUUUUAAGAUUUUUAGCAAAUACUCCAUGCUUUUUUUCAAAAAAAAAAAAAGAUCUCAAUAUUGGGUGACCUGCCCGUUUUGAACUUCAAAAGAAAUCAUCUUACCUCGUGGAAUGAAGCAAUGCUGGUUCACAAUUCCUAUCAUUUUCCAUAGUUUCGUUGACCUGAGAUUUUGUACCUCAGCAGUUCCCAAAAAACUUGGAAAUUUAUUUUGUCUUUCGUCACGCCUUUUCCUGCCAGGUUAGUGUUAUGACAAUAUAGCAUGCAUGUUUUUUUGUUACCUAUUUUGGAAACAUAGGUCCCCCUUUCUGUUGUAGACUUAUUGAGCUCUUGUUUCCACUUGUUUUGUCCGACUUGUCCUCUUAAAACAAAAUAUGCUCCACGCGCUAUACUUCCUAUCCUUUUGGUGAAGAGAUCUUUGGUUCCUUAUGGGGCCCUUUAUUGCUCCACUGAGUAUUGUCUUUUUAUUAUUAUUUUAAAAGGAAAACUCAAAAUAUUUGGUUGUUCAUGAAAACUGAAACUUCAAUGCAAUUGGCAAUUCUCAUAAGAGACGCUUUUUCUAGAAAUUUUUAUGAUGAUACCCCUUUUGGCUUUGGUUCACUAUGGACCCCUAUGUGCACUUCGUACACUUCUUGCCCCCAGUGUGGUGUGCAUAAAUACGCCAAGUUUAGAUUUGAUUUGGUUCCCUCCAAUUAAUGGAGUCAUUUCCUUAGUCAUGUGUAAGAAAAGAGUUUGUUUAAGUAAAAGAUUUCAAAUGCUAUGAGAUCAUGCUUUUUAUGAAAAAAGGUUUUUUUACAAAGGAAAUUCAUGGCCAAACUUUAUUUUAUUGAUUGGGAGAUUACAGAAUACAUCAAGCGUAAUAUUUCCUUACAGAGUCAGAAUUCACUGGCCUAACUAGAUCUUCUCCAUCCAUUCUAGAUAACAGCAAAGCUACUCCCGAGAACGCUUUCUUCACCAUGUAAGGGCCCUCAUAGUUCGGCGCCCAUUUACUCUGAUCUUCUCCUGGUAAAGGCAAUAUUUUCUUCAGUACGAGAUCUCCUUCAUGGAAUCCUCGAGGUCGAACCUUUUUGUCGUAUGAUUUGGCCAUCCUUCUUUGGUAAAGUUGAUGAUGACAGAUUGCAGCUAUCCUCUUUUCACUGAUCAGAUUCAGCUGUUCAUAUCUAACUUUUGCCCAUUCUACCUCUUCCAGCUCAGAAUUUACCAGUACUCUCAAUGAGGGGAUUUCCACUUCUAAAGGCAUAACCGCCUCCAUUCCAUAUACCAACGUGUACGGGGUGGCUCCUAUUGAGGUUCGGACUGCGGUGCGAUACGCAUGAAGGGAAAAUGGCAACAUCUCAUGCCAAUCCUUAUAGGUGACUACCAUCUUCUGAAUAAUCUUUUUGACAUUCUUGUUAGCAGCUUCUACCGCACCAUUCAUCUUUGGUCUAUACGGCGAAGAGUUGGAAUGCUUGAUUUUCCAUUUAGCGCAGAGUUCUAUUAUCAUCUUGCCAUUGAAAUUCUGGGCAUUAUCAGUUAUAAUCUUUUCUGGUGGACCAUAUCGACAAAUCAAAUCUCUCUCAAUAAAUUUCUUCACUACUUUUUGCGUCACAUGAGCAAAUGACCCGGCUUCUACCCAUUUUGUAAAGUAGUCGAUAGCCACGAGAAUAAACCUAUGACCAUUGCUGGCUUUUGGGUUUAUAGGUCCAAUCACAUCAAUUCCCCACUUCGCGAAGGGCCAUGGAGAUGUCAAGUUAAAUAGAGGAGUUAGAGGGGCAUUGAUUUUGUCACUGUAUACUUGGCACUUAUGACAUUUUCGGACAUAGUCGAUGCAAUCCUUUUCUAAUGUCAUCCAGAAGUAACCGGCUCUUUGUAUCUUCCUAGCCAUCACGUGUCCAUUAGCAUGGGUUGAGCAAAUCCCUUCAUGGACUUCUCGUAACGCGCUUUUUGCCUCAAAUUCAUCCAAACAUCUCAACAAAGUCCCGUCGAAUGAUUUCUUAUACAAAAUCUCCCCAUCAAGAUAAAAAUCCAUUGCCAACCUCCUCAAGGUCUUCUUGUCGAUUUUGGAUGCCCCCAUGGGAUAUGCCUGGUUUUGGAUGAAAUUCUUGACAUCAUAGUACCAAGGGUUUCCAUCCACUUCUCUUUCGACUGAGCAACAAUGAGCUGGGUUAUUUCUGAUAUUGAUGUGUACUGGUUGUACCCUGUGCCCGAAGUCUAUUUUGGCCAUAGAUGCUAGUGUAGCCAAAGCAUCUGCAAACUGGUUUCCUUCCCUUCCUAGAUGGGUGAACUCUAUUUCCUCAAAUUCUCCAGCCAGUUUAGAUAGGUAUUCUUGGUAAGGCCUUAACUUCUCUUCCUUGGUUUGCCAUUCUCCUUUUACUUGACAAAUGAUCAGCAUUGAGUCUCCAUACACAUCUAUCUUUCUGAUGUUUAGCUCCAAUGCAGCCUCAAAACCGAGAAUGCAAGCUUCAUACUCAGUCGUGUUGUUGGUACACCCGAACUGUAGCUUAACUGAAACCGGAUACUGCUUCUUAUCAGGAGAGAUUAUCACCGCACCCGCUCCGUUACCACAUACAUUUACAGCACCAUCAAAGUACAUAAUCCACCAAUCUGAUUUCUCUUCCUCGAUUGCAAGCACAUCUUCAUCAGGAAAUUCAAAGUCUAAUGAUUCAUAAUCUUCCAUAGCAUGGUCAGCCAGGUGAUCGGCAAUAAUACUCCCUUUUACAGCUUUCCUUGUCAUAUAUAUUAUGUCAUACUCAGCCAAUAGAACUUGCCAUCUUGCAAUUCGGCUCGAUAAAUAGGGCUUUUCACAAAUGUACCUCAACGGGUCUAAUUUGGAAAUUAACCACGUAGUGUGAUACAACAUAUACUGACGUAAUCUCUUUGCAGCCCAUGUCAGUGCGCAACACAACUUCUCAAUCACAGUAUACUUAGACUCACAUUCCGUGAACUUCUUGCUCAGGUAAUAAAUGGCCCUUUCCUUCCUUCCGGUUUCAUCGUGUUGCCCAAGCACACAUCCCAUUGCUGUUUCUGUUACUGUUAGGUACAAUAUCAAUGGCCUUUCUGGUACAGGAGGAACAAGCAGGGGUGGAUUUAACAAGUACUGCUUGAUUUUCUCAAAAGCCUCUUCGCACUCUUCAUUCCAAUUUCCAGGGUUCUUCUUCCUUAACAAACGAAAGAUCGGGUCACAAGUCGUGGUUAAUUGGGAUAUAAAUCGAGCAAUGUAAUUCAACCUUCCUAAGAAACCUCUCACAUCCUUCUCAGUCUUGGGAGGUGGCAUAAAUUGAAUAGCCUUUACUUUGUCGGGAUCCACUUCUAUCCCUUUAUCACUCACCACAAAUCCCAACAACUUCCCAGAUUUCACCCCGAACGAACACUGUGCCGGGUUAAGUCUCAACUUAUAUUUCCUUAAUCUUUCAAACAAUUUCUUCAAUAUUUGGACAUGAUUCUCUCCCUCUCUAGAUUUAGCAAUCAUGUCAUCCACGUAUACUUCAAUCUCUUUGUGCAUCAUGUCAUGAAACAAAGUCACCAUAGCCCUUUGGUAGGUGGCCCCAGCAUUCUUUAAACCAAAUGGCAUGACUUUGUAGCAAAAUGUUCCCCAUGGUGUUACAAAGGUUGUCUUCUCUUUAUCCUCUUGCGCCAUUUUUAUCUUAUUGUAGCCCGAAAAUCCAUCCAUAAAGGAAUAUGUGGAGCUACGUGCUGCAUUAUCAACUAACAUAUCUAUGUGUGGUAGAGGAAAAUUAUCUUUAGGGCUAGCCCGGUUUAAGUCCCUAAAGUCCACACAAACUCUGAUUUUACCUUCCUUUUUGGGUACCACCACUAUGUUUGACACCCAUUGUGGAUACUUGACUACUUCCAAAAAACCAGCGUUCCAUUGUUUUUCAAUUUCUGCUUUUACUUUGAUUAAGACCUCCGGAUGAGUUCUCCUCAACUUCUGCUUAAUCAGUUUGCAUCCUUCCACCAGUGGUAUCCUAUGUACUACGAUAUCCGUAUCCAAACCAGGUAUAUCCUCGUAGGACCAAGCAAAGACAUCUAUGUAAUCUCGAAGCAGUGCAAUCAAUUCUUCCUUCUCUUCAGGGGUGAUCAAAGUCCCUAUUUUCAGCUCUCUCUUGAUUUCUUCAUUACCCACAUUUAUGGUUUCAAGUUCCUCUUUAGCGGGCCUCCAAGCCUGUUCAUGCUGUUCUAUUAAUUUUGUGAAUUCACUUAUGUUUUUCUCCUCCCAUUCCUCAUCUUCUACAGCUACUAUGUAUUCUUUAAAGUUUGGCCAUUCAUUCUCAAUGUAAAGUGCAGGUGUUGUUGUGGAGGAUCCACUUUCAGGGUUCCUGAAAGCGGGAAGUGAUGUGUAAAUGCACAGUAAGACAUCAAGAUGAAUUUUGAAAAUGCAUGAUCUCAUUAAAAGGAAAAGAUUGGCUCAAAAACAAAAAUAAAAUCCAAUUGACAUCUUGAGCUUCGAUUGUCAAUGAAAAAAAAAAUAGAAAGAAAAAAAAAGGCAAACAACAUAGAUAAAAUUAUAAUCUAAUAAUCAUUGUUGAUUACAUUUUGAGAACCAAUGGAGCUUCUUGGGUCUCCCAAUUCUGGAACUUCUCUCCUUCGGCUAGCUUUCGAAUGAAAGUCUUGGCGGUAAAUUCUUCCAGAGUGUAGAUGGUUAAUUGCGGUAGCUCUUCAUCCCUUCUUCCGGAUUCAAUCUUCUUAGCAAUGUCCUCGACUUGAUCUCCCUCCAAAGUGUUUAUGUUCAUUGAAAAAAACUUCUGAAGAAGGUUUCCAUGUCCCUUAUCAGGUUGCAUCUCAUAUGCGGCCUUUGGAAAAGAAAUCCUGAUUGGAGGGAUAGCUAAGCUUUCUUCUUCAGGCUUCCUUCCUUCAAUCCUAGCCAUUCUUUUCUCCCUUCUUGCACCAGCAGCUCGCUUGUAAUCCUCUUUCUUGGGCUUAUAAUCAAGCCCAAACCUCUGUUCUGUAGCUUUCAGCUUGAUUAUAUCAAUCCAUUCAAGUCUUCCUUUCUUGAUGUCAUAUGGGCAAGGAAUCUUGUGUUUCAAAAAGCUUUUAGCGGCUAUUUUGGUGGCCUCCGAGAUUUCUGGUUUCCUCACCACAGUGUUCUCGGGCACCCACUCGAUAUUCACAACUUCAAAUGCAUGAAGGUUUCCAUCCUUACAAUCUUCGGCUUCGAUGAAUGGAACCGCCACAUUUCUUACCAUUGAUAUAGUCUCCUCAGCCUUAACAGUAACCAGAACACCAUUGGCAAUGUACUUCAAACAUUGAUGCAGUGAGGAGGUGACAGCUCCCGCAGAAUGUAUCCAUGGCCUUCCUAACAACAUACUAUAGGAAGGGUGGAUAUCCAUCACUUGAAGGGUUACUAGAAAGACUUGUGGACCCACAGCUAGUUCGACCUCAAUUGUCCCUAUCACUUGCCUUGGCGAGCCAUCGUACGCUCUAGCCGUCAUCACACUGGGUUGCAUAUGUGAGGGAUCUACUGGCAUUUCAUCCAGCAUAUGCCUUGGUAACACAUUAAGGGCUGAGCCGUUAUCAAUGAGAACUUUACCAAUGAGACAAUCUUUGCAUCGAACCGUGACAUAUAAGGGCUUGUUAUGUCCCGUUCCUUCAGCGUCAAGUUCAUCUUCCGUGAAAUAUAAGUAAUUAGCAGCAUGGAUCCUCCCUACUAGAUGCUCCAUAGUUUUUUGUUCAAUAUCUUGGGGUACGUAGGCCUCAUUCAGUACUUUUUGCAAAGCAUUACGAUGCGGCUCGGAGCUAAGUAUUAAUGACAUGAUGGAGAUCUUGGCAGGGGUCUUCUUCAACUGAUCCACUAUACAAUACUCACUAUGCUUCAUCAAUUUCAGGAACUCAUUUGUUUCUUCCUCAGUCACAGGUUUAUUUACCUCGAGCUCUUUAUCGAGGUCCAAUACCUCCUUGCCUUUAGCCUUUCUUUGCUUCUCUAGUUCUUCAGGUGUGAAACAACGACCACUCCGAGUUAGCCCACUUAUCUCAUUUUGGAACAAUGACAAAGGAGUUUCGACAUUCGAGGUAUAACCAUAAUCUCCAGGCAUCGCUCCAUAGUCUACUUUGUUUGCAUACGAGGGCUUAGUUAAUACCAAUUUCGAGAGCCCAUUAGCUGUUGAUUGGACUCUACAUUUCCCCCGAUUCUCUAUCAUCUCUAUCUCUUCAUUAUCUUUUACAGCCCCAAUCCUUAACUCUCCUAAAGUCAGCAUUCUCACAACCUUUUGAUGAAACUCAAUGCAUUCAUCAAUGUGAUGCCCUUUCUUUCUAUGGAAUGGGCAAAAAUCAUCUUCCCUUAUGCAAUGUUCAGAUGGUUUCUCCAAAUGUCCAGAUUGUACCAACAUUUCAUACAGCCUUGCCAUGGUCACUCUCAGCACCUUCUCUUUACUACCGACCUCCAUAGUAUUCACUCCACUACCACCUACAGCAUGUUUGGGUAGAGGGUUUGAAUUCACAUUAGGCGAAUCUUCAAAAGUGACCCUUCCGAUUUUGAUCAACUGCGAUACCCUUUUCUUAAAAGCUACGCAGUUUUCGAUGUUGUGACCCGUAUUACUAGCAUGGUAUUCACAAGUCAACUCGGGGUUGUACCAGGUAGGGAAAGGCGGUUGCAUAGGAGGUAAUGGUAGGGGAGCUAUCUGCCCAAUACUUAGUAACUUGGCAUAUAACUCCUUUAGGGUUAUUGGCAAAGGUGGUAAUUGUUCUUCUAGUUGUCGGUUGUCUCUCCUUUGGUAAUUGUUUUGGCUAUUGGUGGGGAAUUUUGUUUGAUGGGGUUGGUUUGGGACGGAGGGUUUGGAAAAGUUGAUGCUAGUGAUUUGGGAGGUAGGUAUUUGGUAGUUUUGGUAGUUUUUUCCUCUCCCUUUAUAACUGUCUUCUAGGUUAUUUACCUCAAUUUCCUUCUUCUUCCCAACAAAACCCCUCUUCUCUAUAGGUUCCGCAAUUCUCCCACUUCGGAUUCCUUGCUCAAUCCUUUCAGCAAUUCGCACAGCAUCAUAGAAAUGUUGGGCUGAGCUACCCAUAAGAUGCUCAUAGUAUGGGGCCCUAAAAGUAUUGGCAAACAACGUUACCAUCUCCGUCUCUAUUAGUGGAGGUUGUACAUUGAUAGCUUGGUCUCGCCACCUCUGAGCAUAAGCCCUCACGGACUCUUGAGUUCCUUUCUCCAUGGUAAUUAGACUGGUCCUAUCAGGAGCAAUCUCAAGAUUGAACUUGUAUUGUUUUAAGAAAGCAUCUGCCAGAUCUGUCCAUUUCUUGAUCCUAACGUUGUCCAGCCUCAUAUACCAGCUGAGGGCCGAUCCUAUCAAGCUAUCUUGGAAGAAGUAAAUUAGCAACUUAUCAUCGUGGAUAACUUCUGCCAUCUUGUUAUAGUAGGAACGAAGAUGGGUCUUUGGGCAUUCCAUCCCGGUAUACUUAACAAACUCCGGCACUCUGAACUUCUUUGGAAUUACGAUGUUAGGUACCAAACAUACUUCAGCGGCCCUAAUUGGGUCAAAUAAAUCAUUUCCUUCAACUGCCCUUAGCCUCUCUUCUAGCGCAGUCCAUUUAUCAUACCCAACAUGAUCAGAGAAUCUGACGUCCUGUGGAUCCUCGUUUGUUAAAUCCAUUGUAAUAGGGAUUUGGAUGGGCCGAGUGGGAUUAGGAUGCUGCUUAUGUGGUGUAUUUGCCCCCAUGUUUAUAGGUGCGACAAGGAUUUGAGCUGCUGCUGGUGCUUCAUCAGUUUGAGUAGACGUUCCCUCUCCAUCUUUGGCUCUCAACAUUUGCUCAAGCAAACUGGUCAGGUGCGCCACAUCAUUCCGAACUCCUUCAAGUUCCCUUUGAUACUAAGCUUCUGGUUGUGACCUUUCUUCAUUUUCCAUCCUUUUUCUUUGUCGAGUGUUGUGGAUUCUAGAAGGGGGACCUAUGUUUCUUAGUCUGCAGAUGCGUGUAUAGAUGUAUGAGAAAAUGCAUGAUUGAGAAUGCUUUGUAUAUUAGGUAUGGAUGCAACCUUCUUGUGAACGAAUAAUAGCCACCACCUUAUAAACAUAGGUUCUUUUGUCACAUUGCUAGGAGUACUGCCUUUGAAGUCGUUUGCUUGAAUCAUAUUCACCAAGAGACAGAUUUUGCAUAAGAAGAUGGGUCAACGCCCUUUUCAUUAAUGCUUGAUAAGUUUAUUACAUUAAUAAAUAAAAAGGAAAUACAAAAUUUAUUAAUCCCUUUCCUCCACAAACUCUCUAGCCAAAGGUAAGAAGGCAAAACCACGGUUCUCAAUCUUCCCUAGAAAGACAUCGGUUUCAGCUAGGCUUCGGCGAUAGCGAAUGAUAUCCCCUCCCACAUUCCGCGCAUUAAUUCUAAUAAUUCGAGCAUGUGCAGCAGCUUCAUCCAUUUGCUCAUCUGUCUUGGUCAUCUUUUCUAUGAGCAACAUAUUGGUUCUGUUCAAAGCAGUGUUGUUGGCGUCGAUUUGAUCCUUGUGUUUUUCCAUUGCUGCUAGCUUCUCGUCCAAAUACUUCACCUUUUCACGUUCCUUAUCAAGUUUUAUCCUCAUAACUUUUAUCUCAUUCCUCUUAACCGCUAAUUCUGUUUCAAAAGCCUCAAAACCUUUCCUUUUAUUAUCUUUUUUUGCAAUCCCCAUUAAACGGCUUUCCAACUCCAUAUAUUUCUUGUUCAAAUCCUCAUACUUCCCAAUCCUAUCCAUCAAUUCAAACUGGACUUGUGCAAAUUUUUCUUGGAAAUAUUCUGCACUUCCUUGGCAAUCGUUAAAGUCAAUCUCCAUUGCUUCAAGUUCAGAGCAACUUUGCAUCCAAUCCAAACUCAUCCCUCUUAGCUCCUUCUCACUCUUUUCCCUAGCAAUCUUCUCCUCACCCAGCUUUAACUCAAGCUUUGUUAUUCGCGCAUCUCUAGAUUGUAUUUGCUCAUCUAGAAAUGCUCUCCUUUUAUCUUCUUUUAGCAUCAUUUCUUCCAACAUUGCCUUAUCUUUUCUGCUUUUGCUCAACUCUGUCCGAAGUUUUUCCACUUGUCUUCUCAACUCCUCUUCAUUAUUGACCCUUUUCCUCUUAACAGACUCUUCUAUAGUUUGGGGAGAUUUAGCCUCUACACAAGGCAUGGCUAAAGCAGCUAAGUCUCUCCAUCUUGCAUAUCCUUCGCUUGCACUUGGAUCCUUUAAACCUUCUAUCUCAACCAAAACCAGAUGCUUCCAAUCUUGUUUGAUGAUCUCCAAAACUUCUUGUGCAAUGGGAUCUUUGAACAAACCAAAGAAUUGAGCAAUUCCCAUAGUCCUUGGAACAAACUGCAUGCCCCCAAGUUGCCUUACCACCAGGGCAGGAGCAUAACUUACAUAACCUGUAAUCCCUACCAAUGGUACCCAACGUCUUUGUCCACAACUCAUUAGGACUUUCACUAUCGUUACCCAUGGGGCUCUCCACUUAAAAUCACUAUUAGGCAAACCUUCUAAUUUGUCAACCCAACCUUGGUUGUCUAGAUCCACCCAUUCUUCUUCUUCUACUAACUUCAGGGGUCUUUGGGUGAACCACCAAAAAUUAUUGAAGACGGGUUUUUUUGUUUCGAUAUGGCUAACCAUCCAGAUAUACAACAACUGCGUGCAGCAUCUCAUUGCCCCUUUUCCGGUCCUCCUACAAUGAUUAAGCGUCAAGAUGGUUUCAGCUAAAAUCGCAGCCACUGGAUUGAUUUGUGUAUUCUCAUACUCUACAUAAGCAGCAGCGGCCUCCAAACUCACUAAACCCGUCUGACUUGGAAACAACACAAGGCCAAAUAUGCCCAAGGCAAUCAAUCUCUCUUUUUCUAAUCCUGACUUCUUUUCCAGUUCAAUUUCUAGCAUCCUCCAUUUCAGACCGGUAGCAUUCUUUUCCAAAAACUUUUCCAAGUUGGAGAUUCUGAGCAGUUUUGACAGUUCGGGGAUGAUCUUGUCAGAUCUCAAAGGCAAAUAAAUCCGAUACAGAUUGUUUGGAAACUCAGUCAACAUCCCAUAUUCCUCCAUAGUGGGACAUAGGUCUAUACUUCCAAAAGAAAAACACCGGUAGUCUGGAUCCCAAAAAUGAACUAUGGCUCGCACAGCUGGGCUUAAAACUUCUACCCUUGCAAUUUCCAUCAAACGUCCGUAUUUAUUAAAAAAUGCAUCCUUAUCCACAUUCUGAAAGUGAGUCGUUAACUUGUUCACCUCAUUCAUAAUGCAAUUCAGGUUCUUGAUUGGUGACAGUUUCUUAGCAUCGCUUCUAAGGCAGUCUCCUUCAGUCAAUUGUGACAGUUCAGAAUUUUUCCCAUAUUCUAUGAUGGAAAAUUUAGCAAUGGUGGCCAUUUCGUUCACAAGUCCUGCAAUUCAAAAUGCCUUGGGGUUAGACUUGUUUUGAUACAAAAGAUAUUAUGGAUCAUACAACCUAAGGAUAGGUUCUAGUUCCUUUACGUGAGACAUAGGGUAGGUUUACUACUUGGUCUCUAAAAAAGGGUCUCUUGCUGUCCCAGUGAUCGCCCUCGUAAAGGCAAUAUGGGGGUUCAGCAGAUAGUGGGAUGGCACAUGUACCAAUCACUAUCAGUCUAAACACUCAGCAAAAAGUUGGGGUUUACACAAACUUAAACCUUGACUCAAGUCAUAAGGCAAGCUGCUAGUUCCCCACUUAGCUUAAAGUUAAAUGUGUGUGCCCUCAAAAAAAAAAAAAAUAAUAAAGUGAUGCAUGAUUAUACCAUGUAUGACAGAAUGUAAAGAUGCAUGCUAAAGCUUUUAAACAAGGUAUCAUUCAUAUAAGAAAACAAAAAUCAAUAACACAUAGCAUAAACAAACAAAUUACCAAGCCUAGUCCUAAGUCCCCAGUGGAGUCGCCAUCCUGUCGCACCCUCGCGGCGGAGCGCGGCGUCGCGGUGACCAUCGAUUGAUUUCGGGGUCUUUUUGUGUAAAGGAGUCGCCACCUAGUAUUAUGGUCACUAGGAAACCUAACUGGUCUUUCAGAGAUUCUAAGGCAAGGGACUGGUUGCGUAAAGGGAAGGUAUUAGCACCCCUAGUACGCCAUACCUAAGGUAAGCUGCUUAGUAUUUGGUUUGUCUUAUAAUUGCUAUGGUGUUGAUGUUUUCUAAUCCCAUCAGUUUUCUAGGUUUUGAUUCAAACUAAAUUUAUUAGGAUAGAAACCCAAGGAAGUUCCAUGUGCUUUAAAAGCUCAUUUUCCCCUUAGUUUUUCAAGGGUUUGCGACUCAUAAAUCGCAAGGAGGAGGGGCAAAAAUUUAGAAAUCUAGGGUGCUUUAAAAACCUAUUUUUUUUGUCUUAGUGUUUUAACUCUCACAGCUCGUAAAUCGUGGAAAAAAAAUUUGAAAUGUCCUCGAUUAUAAUCAAGGCUUCUUUCAAGGAUGUGUGCGGAUUUAUUACUCCCAAUAAUAUUUUGGAUAUUCGUCCUUUAAGGAUUUCUUUAUCCAAACAUUAGCGGUGAAUAAUAGAUGAAUUCCCCUCAAAAUAAGAUUUUUAUAUUUUUUGGAAUAUUGACCAAUACCCUUUGGAGUUUUACAAACAUGUUGUAAAAUCCAGAAAUGCAAGAAAAACAAUUUUUGGUGUUUAAGAAAUCCAUGCGAAAACACAUUUUCGAAACUUCCAAUGUUUUUUUGUGUAUAAAAAAAAGAGCGUUCAAAACAUGUUAGGGUAUUGGCCGUAUGCAACACGCAAGAAAAUAUUUUUUAUUUGAUCGAAACAUAAGCAUCACGGUAAUCACAAAUAAAGACAACAAGUCAUCACAUAUAUUUCAAAAAAAAUCAUAAGCCUUAAACAUUUCAGUUAAAAUAAAGCAGGAGAAAAAUAAAAAAAGAAAAGCGCUCCAAAGCCAAAACUCAUCAAAUAGAAUUUGAUCCAUCAAAUCACUCAGAGCCUAAACAUAGCAUGACCUAUUAUUUUCGACAGAAAAAAAAAACAAAAGAGUCCAUAUCACGUAAAAAAAAAACAACCCUUUGAACCCAAUCCUAUAGCAAAACCCCUGACUCCUUUUUCUGUCUGUGUUAAAAACCCAAACUGCGCCUAAAAGCCAACUAUUCCUAUGCAACAUUCUAACAGAGAGCACUCGGACAAAGAAAUGAAGGAAUAAUGAAGACCCUUAAAGUUUAAAAUUCCUCUCAAUAAGAGAGCAAAACAAACGCAACUCUAACAUAUAUAAAAAAAUCUUAACUCAAAGACACGGGAGGGACAGUGGGCAAGCAUGCAAAUUUGUAGCUAAGAUAGAAAACGAAGGUGCAAAACCAGAAGACAAAACAGUUUUUAAACAUCAAAAACAAGGACCUGCAGGUCUCACUGAAAUGUCUUAUUGCAGCAGCUGAAAUCAAAACCAAACGAACGUUGCUGACAGAGUUUAGAGCAAAACCCGACUCACGCCUCUCCUUUUUCAAAGCAAUGCAGGUCUUACUGAAAUGCUUUACUGCAGCAGCUAAAUAUAAACCAAAUGAACGUUGCUGUCAAGGCUUAGCAGCAAAGCUCCCUCUCCGUCUUGUCUUUUUUUCCUCCUCUUUCCUCACAGUAACUCAAGAAUGCAAGAAAGAAACUCUCUCUGUUUUUCUGCUUUUUUUCUACUGCCUCUCUCUUGCGUUUUUCUUGUCUUUCUUUUCCUAUCCUCUCUCCCGUUCUCUCUUUUUCUCUUAUUUUUCUGCUCCCUUUUUUUGCUAUUUUUUUGCUCUCUUUUUGCCGCCCCUUGCUAGGUCAUUAGAGGGGUUUAUAUAUAGUCUAGAAUAUCUCUAUUUAGGAAAGAUUUAAUGCAUUAAUUCUAGGACAUAAAUCCCUACUGAUUUGCAGUAAAAAAACGCAAAAGGAAGCUGCAAUAUUCUGAUUUUGUGCUGGUGCUUUACGUCUGAUUUCUUUCCAGUUUUAGAGGAGGGUGUGGCUAUUUUCUUUCCUUCCAUAGGGCCAGCUGCUCCCUUUCAAAUGAGGCAAGAAAAAACGUGGUUGCAGCUCCAAAAUUCAGGCAUGAUGAUAAAGGAAAAACAGCAGGAAUUUGCAGCAAAAAAAAGGAAAGAAAUCAGAUGGAGGGUGCAGCUGCAAAGUCUCAUUUUCCUUAUUCGGUGUGGAAAAAUUCCUGUCAUUUAUGAUGAUCCAGCCCCCUCUCCAGCUUUCAAUAUCCUUCUUCAAUUCAAUCCCUCAUUUUAACAAUUUUUGAUUCAGUCCUGGGUCCAAAAAAAAUCCUUCGAAUCAGCCCCGCGAACUUGGGCUAUAUCCUUCCCGCGGCAGAAUUUUCUGUCCUCACGUUAGAUAUUCAAAUGGGAAUAUCUUGAGCUUCUGAUAUCAAAAUCAAGUGAUUCAAAAGCCCAAAUUCAUCUACACGUCUAGGACUAAAACUUUAAUGAAGAAGUCGAAGUGAGAUAAAAUCUUUUUACAGAACAGAAACUGGCAGUAAUCUAGUUGGUCAAAAGGAAUCUCCGGGUCUAACUCAAAAACUGACGAAUGUCGAGAAUCCUGAUAUGACUGAGAGUAUGAACUAAGAACGAAAAUCACAAAAACUAGGCCAAAAAUAGAGUUUCUUUAGUGUAGACUCGGGUCAAUAUCCUUCUCGCGGCAGAAUUCUCUGCCUUCACGUUAGAUAUUCAAACGGGAACAUCUUAGGCCUCUGAUAUCGAAAUCAAGUGAUUCAAAAGCCCAAAUUCAUCUACGCGUCUAGGACUACAACUUUGAUGAAGGAGUUGAAGUGAGAUAAAAUCUUUUUACAGAACAGAAACUGGCAGUAAUCUAGUUGGUCAAAAGGGAUCUCUGGGUCUAACUCAAAAACUGACGAAUGCCGAGAAUCCUGAUAUGACUGAGAGUAUGAACUAAGAACAAACAUCACAAAACUAGGCCAAAAAUAGAGUUUUUUUAGUGCAGACUCGGGUCAAUAUCCUUCUCGCGGCAGAAUUCUCUACCUUCACGUUAGAUAUUCAAAUGGGAACAUCUUGAGCCUCUAAUAUUGAAAUCAAGUGAUUCAAAAGCUCAAAUUCAUCUACGCGUCUAGGACUACAACUUUGAUGAAGGAGUUGAAGUGAGAUAAAAUCUUUUUACAGAACAGAAACUGGUAGUAAUCUAGUUGGUCAAAAAGGUUCUUGAUCUGACAAUACUGAGCAUCCAAAUCUAAAUGAGAAUCUGCUCUAAGAACAAUGAUCCCUAGGACCUAAUAAAGGUGUACGUCAAUUUUUCAAUAUGUAAUGAGUGACAGGAUAUACCUAGGAUGGUCAGAUAUCGUACGAAACUGAGUCAGAAUCAGAGCCUAAGUUGGAACCAAAAAAAUUGCGACAGCAGCAGAACUAUUUUUUUAGUGCAAAUUCUGAGGGAUUUAUUCAACCUUAAAGACCAGAUAAAAAAUAAUGAAUUUAGCAUUAUGAAGACUCCUGAUCAAACUAAGAAAACCUGAUGAUUUUGGUAGUAAAGGGGAAGGAUAAAAAGAGCAGAAAACAACUCAAACAAGGUUUUAAAAUAUUUCUUUAUGUGCCUUUGUCAAUCUUUUGGUGAAUAUGAGCUAAACUCCUACACUCUGUUCAAAAGAGGUAUACACUGUCUUCAGCACGUGGGGUCCAAAAUUGAGUAACAACAACUGUUUCUACUCCAUUCUGCAACGUUGAUUUUGCUACUGCUUCAACAUUUUCUGCUAUUUUCUUUGCUAUUGUUUCAUCUUCCCUGCAAUUAUCUGCUAUCAACUUCUGUUUUCUACUCAUCUUCUGUAAUAUGGAUCCUUUGUUUUUUGCUACAGUUGGCACCACUAGCAGUCCUUCUUCUCCCAACAUUAAUGUUGUCACGCUUCCCUCUACUGCGACAGCAGCUGUUAUUCCACUGCCAAAUACACAGCAGGCCAUCAACCUCAAACUCACCAAUUCCAAUUAUUUAUUUUAGCGUAUGCAAAUGAAGCCAUAUCUGAUUGGCUAAGGGUGUUCUCGUUUGUCGAUGGCUCGUAUUCUUACCCUUCUCUGCUUGAUCUGUCCAGUCACUCUACUGUCACCUCUACAAACAUUAAUUCUGGUCCUUCCUAAAUGUUUCUCUCAUGGAAACAACAAGAUUAACUCAUACUCAAUGCUUUACUCUCAUCCUUCUCCAUUGAUGUUCUUCACCUUGUGGUGGACUGCCCAACUGCAGCAAGUGUUUGGAGCACCCUUGAAAGUACCCUUACCUCUCCAUCCAACUCUAGGAUUAUGCAAUUAUAUGGCUCUCUUCAGGAUCUUCAUCAAGGUGAUGAUAUUGUCACUCUCUACCUGCAGAAAGCUAAAGGCUUAUUUGACGAACUAGCCGUAGCAGGCAGGCCUAUCUCCUUCACUGACUUCAAUCUCUAUGUUUUUCGAGGCCUUCGCGAUGAAUUUUGAGAUUUGGUUACUAGUCUGUUGACCAACGUUAAGCCUCAUCCAUACUCUGAGCUCCAUAGUUACUUGUCUACACAUGAAUUUUUACACAUGAGCUCUCUUCAAUCCAUUCCAGCUACUGCACCGUUGCUACCCACACCCUCCCUCUACAUAUGCUGCACAACGUGCCUUUGUUGGAUUUAAUGGCAGUGGCUCCUCUUCUUAUUGGGGUAGAGGAAGAAGAGGAGGCUGGAGAGGUAACUUUUGCAGCAAUUAUAACCAGUACCCUAGCCAGCCUUACUAUGGAAACAGUGGGAGCUCCUCCUAGCAGAACAUAGGAGCUACGACAUCAACAAAAACAAGGAGGGCAACACCAGUGGCCUCGACAGAUUAGAUGCCAACUUUGCAGCAACAUCGGACACUCUGCACAACAAUGUUCUUAGCUUGUGCAUAAUGGGAAUCAAGCUUCAACCAACCUCUCCUUUAGUGAUGCUUUAACAACAAAUCCUAUCACUUGGUUCCCCGAUACAGGUGCGAAUCAACAUGUUACUUCGAACAUUGUCGGUAUGACACAUGCAGACCCUUAUCUUGGUAAUGAUCAAUUGUAUGUUGGUGAUGGCAAGACACUUAUUAUAUCUAAUACAGCUCAUAAAAUUUUGCAUGCUCUAAAACGAACCUUUACUUUGUCUAAUAUUCUACAUGUUCUAAAAAUUAAGAAAAGACUCUUAUCUAUUCAACAAUUUUGUCAUGAAAAUUGUGUCUUUUUUAGUUUCACUCUUUUUUUUUUCUAUAUGAAGGAUCUUAUAUCCAAGAUAGUGUCUUCCCCAGGCUUUUCUAUCUACCUUUGCUGAUGUUUGGCAUCGUCGUCUCGAUCAUCUCAGCUCUCAUGUUCUAAGUCUCUUAGCGUCAAAUAAAAAGGUUGUUUGUACUUCUUGUCCUUUAAAUUUUCAAUGUCAAGCUUGUCCGUUAGGCAAAUCAUCUCGUCUGUCUUUAGGCCCUACAGGUCAUCAAACAUCUGCUCCUCUUGAACUUGUUUUUAAUGAUGUGUGGGGCCUUACUCCUAUGUUAUCUUCGGAUGGUUUUUGUUAUUUUUGUUAUUUUUAUGGAUGCACAUACAAAUUUUAUCUGGUUUUAUCCUCUUGUCCUCAAAUUUGAUGUCUUCAAUAUGUUUCAUCUCAUCAAUUUCAAGUCUUCGUCGAACGACAAUUCUCUCGAAAAAUUAAAUUUGUUCAAACUGACUAGGUGCUAAAUAUCGUAAAUUAAAUUUAUUCUGUAAAACCAUUGGUAUUCAUCAUCACCUCAUAUGCCCACAUACGCUUGAACAGAAUGGUAUUGUUGAGCGUUGUCAUCGUCACAAUGUUGAAACUAGUCUUACCCUUCUUGGUCAAUGUAAGGCACCUUUAAAAUUUUGGACUUAUGCUUUUGAAACCUCUGUUUACCUCAUUAAUUGUAUGUCUACACCAGUUUUGCGCAAUAAAUCCCCUUUUGAAUGUCUGCUUCGUCAACCACCUAAUUGAUUUUUUAUGUACUUUCAGAUGUUUAUGUUUUCCCUUCCUUCGACCUUAUAAUGCUCAUAAGUUAGACUAUCGCUUUACUACAUGUGUGUUCUUAGGCUAUAGUUCAUCUCAUCUAGGGUAUCAUUGUCUGGACUUAUUGUCUCUACAUCUCCCGUCAUCUUCGAUUUAAUGAACAAGUGUUUCCAUUUCUCGAGUCUGCCCAUCUCCCUCCACCCACCAGCCAUACCCAUCCGCCUACCACUGUCACACACCUUCCCUCACUCACCAUCUUUCCGUCUACCACACCAUCAGCCCCACCACCAAUUUCCUUUAACCCUGAUGUCCCCUUAUCACCAUCUGCCUCCAUAUAUGUUGAUCAUUUUGCAAGUACAGAGUCUGCAACACCAGUGUUGUUUGUGUGUGCGUCUCCUCCAGCUGCUGUCUCUCCAGCACGGUCAUCCAGCUCUUCCUCUCCAUCCAAAUCAUCUACCAUGUCUUCACCAAGUCUGGACCUCUGUGUUGAUUUGUCCAGUUAUACUCUUGUGUGGCACCGUCCCCUAUUCAAACCCCUGCUCCUUCAGCACAGCGACAACACCCUAUGGUGCUGAGUCCCAGAUAUAACAGGACUGCCAACAUCACUUCAGUCGCUUAUUCUUCCUCAUAACCUCCAGCUUCACGGGUAAUGUCUCCCUCCACUCUCAAACCUCUUACUUUUAAGGAGGCCGACCGUUUUAUUUGUUGGCAUACUACCAUGAAGUCAUAAAUUGCAGCUUUACAUGCCAAUGGUACCUGGUACCUUUUGAUCCCUCCAUGAAUGUGGUUGGCUAUUGAUGGUUGUAUAAAAUAAAGUGUUAAACUAAUGGUGUUAUUGACCACUAUAAGGCUUGCUUGGUUGCGCGCGGGUUCACUCAACAGGAAGGCAUUGAUUACUCAAAAACCUUUAGUCUUGUUGUUAAACCAACUACUGUUCGAUUAGUUCUCACUAUUGUCAUGUCCAAAGGAUGGCAGAUUCAACAACUUGAUGUCCACAAUGCCUUCCUUUUGUAGACUCUACUUUGCGAAAUCAUGUUUGUCUUCUUCACAUGUCUCUAUACGGUCUAAAACAAGCCCCUCGGGCUUCGUACACCCACCUGAGUGACUUCCUUCAGAUUAUUGGUUUUCAGGCUUCCAAGGUUGAUACCUCUCUCUUUGUUCUGACAAGGAAUCAUGAUAUUUGCUAUUUAUUUCUCUAUGUCGAUGACAUCCUACUUAAUGGUAACAACUUUGCCUUAAUUCAUCGCCUUAUUACCUUACUGAGUUCAAAAUUUAAGCUAUGUGACUUGGGUAAUGCUUAUUAUUUUUUGAGAGUUAAGGUCACUCCUACUAGUGUGGGACUCAUACUGAGUCAGCAUAAGUAUGUUCUUGAUAUUCUUUGUCAUGCUGGUAUGUCAUCUUGUAAACCUGUCGAUACACCAGCCUUUGUUUCUAAGCUUGAUCUUUCGUCUACUAUGUUAUUCUCGGAUCCCACUCGCUUUUGAUAAAUUGUUGGUGCUCUUUAGUAUCUCACAUUUACUAGACCGGACAUUUGUUAUGUUGUUAACAAGGUUUGUCAGUUUAUGCAUACUCCUACUAAGAGUCAUUGGGCUGCUGUUAAACGUAUCUUACGCUACUUUAAAGGUAUGUCAUCUUAUGGCAUCCACCUUACUCGUGGCUCCUCUUUAUCACUUCAUGGGUUCACUGACGCAGUUAGAGCGGGGAGUGUUGAUGAUCGAAAAUCUACUCGAGGAUAUAUUGUUUUUCUUAGUACCACACUUGUUUCAUGGAAAUCUGGAAAGCAAUGCACUGUUGCUUACUCCUCCACUGAAGCAAAGUAUAAAGCUUUGGUUGAUGGUACUGCUGAGGUUCUUUGGUUACACUAUCUUCUGACAGAUCUGUGUUUUCCCCUAGUUCUGUUACUACUAUCUAGUACGAUAAUUUGGGUGCUACUUAUGUAUUUGCUAAUCUGAUUUUUUAUGCUUAAACAAAAGAUGUUGAAGUUGAUUAUCACUUUGUUCGUGACCGGAUGACCAAAAAGGAGAUUCAGAUUUGCUUCAUCUCCUCCAAAGAUCAAUUAGUAGAUGUUCUUACUAAGCCACUCUCUUACUCUAUAUUUGCUCUUUUAUGUUCCAAGCUUCAUGUGGAUAACUCACCUUCAACUUGAGGGGGUGUAUUAUGGAAUGUGUUAGAAUAGGAAAUAUUGUAUUAUUAAUGUAUUGACUUAUUAUGUGUAAUAUGCUACACCAUAACACAUGUACUACCCUAAUUAUAUAAAUAGCAGAGGUGGCAAUCUGACAUGAUCAAAAGAUUGAUGUCUUAUCCCAAGUGCAGGAGUAUCGAAGUAAUAAAUAACUCAGCAAGACCGAGGUCGAACCACAGGGAGGUGAACUAUAUAAAAUUAUAAACAAUAAAUGAAAAGGAGUUGAAAAGAACUUUUGAGAUGUGAUAUUGAUGUAAGGAUUAAACAAUGAUAAAACAAUUGUCAAUGUUAAAGGACCCACUAAUGGUAUUUCAAACAAGUAUAGUAUAAACUCUUUUUAUUACUCAACUGAAAACCACACACAAAGGAGGUUCCAAUCGAAUUAUAAAUUCUUAACAUGAUUAUAUUAAUUAUCUUAUUUGAGUAAUGUUAAUACUUGUAAAUGUAGUCAGGUAUUCAUGAUUAUUUCUUGCCCUGUUCUCCUGAGAGAUACAUUGUGUUCCCUAGUUUGCUUGUUGUUUGGCUUGUUGCUGGAUGUGGCUUGCUGGUUGCUGGUUGCUGGUUGUUGCUUGCUCCUCUCUGCCUUGCUUGUCAGGCCUGUUGAUUGCUAUUUGGCUUGUAGCUUGUUGCUUUUACUGUAGAAGCCUGUUCCCCCUUUUUGGGAUGUUUGGUUGGUCUGCUGGAUCGGAUCUUCUGUUUGUAUAAGGGCGCAUGUUCCCUAGUGAUUUUCGGUGUGCUUGUCCUGGGGAGGCUGUUCCCCUGCACACGCCUUUGUGUUGUACUUGUUUUGCAAGCUAAGCUUGCUUUGGUUUCUUUGCUUUAUGGUCCGGUUGCUUGUUCAGGGGAGGCUGUUCCCCAGCACAAGCCUUUUGUUUUCUUAUGUUCAGCAAGAUCUUCUUGCUUUAGUUUUCUAAGGGCAUAUGUUCUCCUUGGCUGCUGCUGCUGCUGUCUGUAAUGUUCUGCUGGUUUCCAGCUUGUAUUGCAAGCUUGUCUUGCUAUUUUCGAUCUAUAUACUUCUUACAUUUGAUAAAUAAAAAAAACAAAUCAAGUUCCUUUCAUAGCAUAGGUGUUGGUUAUACCAUAUAGUUGGCUAUGAAAGGGUCAAGUAUUUGUUGCACCUAGGCUUCUACACCACAAAUCUAGAUUAACCAUUUAACAAGCAAGGUAUUAAGAGUGAGUAAGACAACAAAUACGAAACAUGUUGGUAUCAAACAUUAAAAUCCAUGUUGAGUUUAUAUUAUACUUAUUCUUACACCAUUAGUGUAUCCUUUUCACCUUGACAAAAUUAACUUAGCUAAACAUCAUGAAGAAGAAAAACAUAAAUAAACAAUAUAAGAACAUGAACAUGAUAUAAGUUAACUAAGAAUAGUAAAGAAAAUGGAAAGCAUAAACAAGAGAUUGAUAUAACAUAAAAUAAAACUUGAACAUUAAAAUAAAAAGAGAGAGAGUGAUCUUGAUCUGAAAACCAAAAUGUCUAAAUGUAUGGUAAAUGCCUCCUUUUAUAGGCUAAAAUUCAGAACUAUUGAUUUGAUGACUAAUUAUUGAGUGGAUGGCCACCUCUUGACUUGGUGACAACCAUUGUCUUCUUGUCUGAACAAAACAUCAUUGCUAACGUUAGAAUUUAAACAGAUAGUCUACAUGAACAUUCUGGGCAUUUGUCUCAGCUUUCCAACAAAACAAGAAUGAGCUCAUUUGGAUAUCUAGAACUCUAGAUAUGAGCUGAACAUUGAACAGUGUUUGGGCUGCAAGACAGAUUCCAACUUCUCUUUUGUUGCUACAAUUUGAACUUGAAAAUGACCCAUUUGAAUUUGGACUCUUCAUUAAAGUUUUAGGCCUAUGUCUUAGCUUUCCAUCCAUAUAAACCAGACCUAAAUCCAAGUUAUACAGCUCCAGUUAUGAUCCAAUAACCGAAUGGUGUUCCAGUUUGAAUUGAACCAUCAUCUCUUCUUUAAGCUUAGCCCUCUUUUUGUCUUUUUACUUUCAAUAGUUAAACACAUCAAUCAAUCCUUUAAAUUGAGAGAUUUGCCUGCAUUCAAAAUGAGCAUUUACCAUAAAUCAAAGAUAUCUUAUGUUAUCGUGCUUGCUAUUAUAAAACAUGCUCAAGUUAGGGAAUUUAAUGAUAUUUUAAGUCCAAUAUGAUGAUAUAAAACCUUAAUGAAAAUGCACUUUUAAGUACUAAUAACUAUCUCAUUAGGUCAAGCCUCUCAAUUAUCACAAACCUUGUUUCAGCUAUAAAUAUUUCAUUUUCUUACUAACCUCACUUUCAACUUUCUUUUUAAACUCUAAAACUUUGCUAAGGUUUUAGAUCUUUCUUUCAUGAAAUGCACCGGACAUACCUGGGGUAGUCAAUGAUAAAUGUCACCACCAUAUAGAGAUAUCCACUGAUUGAUGCCUCAUUUAUUUUUCCAAUACAUCUAGGUGGAUGAGCUUUAUGUUAGUGUAUAUAUUUAAUUUAUUAAUAAAGAUUUUUUUUAUUUUUAAUAUUCAUCAAAUAUUUGAUUAAUGAAUCUAAUAUUUGAUAAUAAGUCUAGAGUAAGGAUAAAUUCAUUAAGACAAAAAUGCUUCGCAAAAAAAAUUAUAAAAUUGUCUUGAUCUGAAACAAAAUUUAAGCAUUAUAAAUAUAAAAAGAGAGAGAGAACAAAAGCAUAAUCUUGAUCUGAAAACUAAAAUAUCUAAAUACAUAAUAAAUAUCUCUUUUUAUAGAUGAAAAUUUAAAACCAAGAUCCCACCAGCAUCCUUGGCAGAAUUUACUCUAAGCGGUGAUGGUGGGAAAGAUUAUUACUAUAUAAGCCUUGUUGAUGGCUUUAACAUCCCAAUUUCGGUAACCCCGCAAGGAGGUUCUCCUGGCUGCAGUUCUACAAGCUGUGCAGCUAACGUGAAUGCUGUUUGUGAUCCUAGUUUAGCAGCGAGGGGGCCAGAUGGGACUGUGAUUGCCUGCAAGAGCGCGUGUUUGGCAUUUAACCAGCCGCAGUACUGCUGCACAGGAGAGUACAGUACACCUGACAAAUGUCCUCCUACCCAAUAUUCGAUGAUCUUCAAGUAGCAGUGUCCUCAAGCUUAUAGUUAUGCUUAUGAUGAUAAAUCGUGCACGUUUACUUGAAGAUCACAAACAGCAUUCACGUUAGCUGCACAGCUUGUAGAACUGUGCAGCCAGGAGAACCUCCUUGCGGGGUUACCGAAAUUGGAAUGUUAAAGCCAUCAACAAGGCUUAUAUAGUAAUAAUCUUUCCCACCAUCACCGCUUAGAGUAAAUUCUGCCAAGGAUGCUGGUGGGAUCUUGGUUUUAAAUUUUUACCUAUAAAAAAAAUAUUUAUUAUGUAUUUAGAUAUUUUAGUUUUCAGAUCAAAAUUAUACUCUUGUUCUCUCUUUCUCUUUAUAUUUGUAAUGCUUAAAUUUUGUCUCAGAUCAGGACAAUUUUAUAUUUUUUUUUGUGAAGCAUUUUUGUCUUAAUGAAUUUAUCCUUACUCUAGACUUAUUAUCAAAUAUUAGAUUCAUUAAUCAAAUAUUUGAUGAAUAUUAAAAAUAAAAAAAAAUCUUUAUUAAUAAAUUAAAUAUAUACACUAACAUAAAGCUCAUCCACCUAGAUGUAUUGGAAAAAUAAAUGAGGCAUCAAUCAGUGGAUAUCUCUAUAUGGUGGUGACAUUUAUCAUUGACUACCCCAGGUAUGUCCGGUGCAUUGCAUGAAAGAAAGAUCUAAAACCUUAGCAAAGUUUUAGAGUUUAAAAAGAAAGUUGAAAGUGAGGAUAGUAAGAAAAUGAAAUAUUUAUAGCUGAAACAAGGUUUGUGAUAAUUGAGAGGCUUGACCUAAUGAGAUAGUUAUUAGUACUUAAAAGUGCAUUUUCAUUAAGGUUUUAUAUCAUCAUAUUGGACUUAAAAUAUCAUUAAAUUCCCUAACUUGAGCAUGUUUUAUAAUAGCAAGCACGAUAACAUAAGAUAUCUUUGAUUUAUGGUAAAUGCUCAUUUUGAAUGCAGGCAAAUCUCUCAAUUUAAAGGAUUGAUUGAUGUGUUUAACUAUUGAAAGUAAAAAGACAAAAAGAGGGCUAAGCUUAAAGAAGAGAUGAUGGUUCAAUUCAAACUGGAACACCAUUCGGUUAUUGGAUCAUAACUGGAGCUGUAUAACUUGGAUUUAGGUCUGGUUUAUAUGGAUGGAAAGCUAAGACAUAGGCCUAAAACUUUAAUGAAGAGUCCAAAUUCAAAUGGGUCAUUUUCAAGUUCAAAUUGUAGCAACAAAAGAGAAGUUGGAAUCUGUCUUGCAGCCCAAACACUGUUCAGUGUUCAGCUCAUAUCUAGAGUUCUAGAUAUCCAAAUGAGCUCAUUCUUGUUUUGUUGGAAAGCUGAGACAAAUGCCCAGAACGUUCAUGUAGACUAUCUAUUCAAAUUCUGACAUUAGCAAUGAUGUUUUGUUCAGACAAGAAGACAAUGGUUGUCACCAAGUCAAGAGGUGGUCAUCCACUCAAUAAUUAGUCAUCAAAUCAAUAGUUCUGAAUUUUAGCCUAUAAAAGGAGGCAUUUACCAUACAUUUAGACAUUUUGGUUUUUAGAUCAAGAUCACUCUCUCUCUUUUUAUUUUAAUGUUCAAGUUUUAUUUUAUGUUGUAUCAAUCUCUUGUUUAUGCUUUCCAUUUCCUUUACUAUUCUUAGUUAACUUAUAUCAUGUUCAUGUUCUUAUAUUGUUUAUUUAUGUUUUUCUUCUUCAUGAUGUUUAGCUAAGUUAAUUUUGUCAAGGUGAAAAGGUUACACUAAUAGUAUAAGAAUAAGUAUAGUAUAAACUCAAUAUGGACUUUAAUGUUUGAUACUAACAUAUUUUGUAUUUGUUAUCUUAUUCACUUUUAAUACUUUGCUUGUUAAAUGGUUAAUCUAGAUUUAUGUUCUAUAACCCUUGGUACAAAAAAUACUUGGUACUUUCAUAGCCCAAACCGUAUGGUAUAACCGACACAUGUGCUAUGAAAGGAACUUGAUUUGUUGUUAACAUAAGUUAUAAUCAUGAAUAUCUGACAACAUUUACAAGUAUUAGCAUUAUUCGAAUAAGAUAGCUAAUGUAAUUAUGUUAACAAUUUAUAAUCUGAUUGGAACCUCCUUUGUGUGUGGUUUCUAGUUGAGUAAUAAGAGUUUAUACUAUACUUGUUUGAAAUACCAUUAGUGGAUCCUCUAACAUUGACAAUUGUUUUUAUCACUGUUUAAUCUUUCAAUCAAUCUUACAUCUCAAAGUCCUCAUUAUUAUUAUUAUUAUUAUUAUUAUUAUUAUUAUUAUUAUAGUUAACCUCUAUGUGGUUCUACCCCGGUCUUGCCGAGUUAUUUAUUACUUCGACACUCCUGCACUUGACAGAAGACAUCAACUAUUUGGUCGUGUCACCUUCCCUUCCCUUUCUUCCUCUCUCUCUAUCCUUUCCCUUGUUUCCUUCUGCUCUCCUUUUCUUUCCCCUUCUAUUUCUCUCUUUCUUUCUGUUUUACUCUGUUCUCCUCUCUAUAAUCUCACUUGUCUCCCCCUCCAGCUCCUCUCUCGCCCUAGUAUUUAUAAGAUGGAAAAGGGGGGGAGAGGGCUGCUAUCCUUGUCCAGUCAUGGUGUAGGGGUAGGGUGGCUAUGGUGGCCUACCCCUAGAGCCACUUGCAGGGAAUGGCUCUCCUGGCUUUUUCAUCAUGGUGGUAAGCCAUGAGGGGGUGUGGGUUGUGUUGGGGUUUUGGGUUUUUGGGAGAGAGAGAGAAAUGAAAGUUGCAAAGGAGGGGAAGAAAAACCUUCUUCCCCUGCCUUUGCACGUUAGGGAAGAAGAAGACACAUAGUGCCAUUCAAAACAAAAUUAUUUUGAACUUUUUUUUAUUGAAUAGUGCAUGAAACAAUUAGAAAACAAUUAGAAAGAGGACUUUUCUUAAACCUUAGACAGACCAACAAUUAGAAAACACAACAAUACUUUAGUUAUAUCAGACAAUGCAGCUUACCUUACGUAAGAUGUAUUAGGGGUGCUAAUACCUUCCCUUUACGCAAUCAAUCCUCGUGCCCAAUCUCUGAGAGUAGUUGGGGUUCCUAGUGACCAAAAUAUUAGGUAGUGACUCUCAUUCCCUCUUUCUAAGGAUAAAAGACGAGAAUUCUUUAUCCUGUCCAUUUCCCCACACCACAUGGCAAUAUGGAAUUCUAGGAGGACAUUCACUAUGAUGUCGCACCACAUGCGACAAUUGAGAAAGGGGAUGGUUGGAUUUUGGUCUUGACUUGAGUUGUUUUGGUUGUGAUAUUCAUGAUCGAUGUUGCUGCUAGCAUUAUUAAUGUAUGUCAUUGGCAACUGCUAUCAUUAGUUGGAGGGAGUAGUUGUUGUUGUUCUAGGAUUCAAGCAAACACCUAAAGGGAGGUGAAUUAGGUGUUCCACUAAUAAUAACAAAUAUUAAAAUUAAUUCAAUUAAACACAAUUAACCAACAAUAUAAUUAGAUUGUGUAAAGUGAAGAGUAAAGGGAUAGGAAUUGUAAACUUGAUUUUUAAUGUGGUUUAGCGAGUUUAUAUACACAUCUCAAGCACCAAAUUGGUCUUGUGUAUUUUUUUCUUGCACUAGUCCAAAUUAAAGAUUAGAAUUUUCAUUUGAUGAAUCCACAUCAAGAUUUUAAACCACUUGAAGAUCAUUUCUUUUCAAGAUUUUUCACCACUUGAUGAAUUCACACCAAGAUUUUUCCCUCUUGAAGAUAUGCUCUUUUCAAAAAAAAAUUCUUGGUGAUGUUCCCUCACCAAUACCAAGAGUUUUAUCCUAACUCUCAAAGGAUUACAAGGAUGAUUUUACUCACAAUAAAACUCUCUCGAAGAGUAGAUGAUAUAAUUUAAACUCUAGUAUCUCCAUAACUUACUCAAUAGCAUUUAGAUGAUUUAUAAAGGUCUUUAUAAAGUGUCAUGAGUAUGAAAAUAAAUGCUCUAGUGCUAGAAUAUGAAUGCUCAAUUCUUAAAAUAGCUUCUGUAAUAUGUAUAUUCAGAAUCCUCUUUUAUUUUAACAAUAAUGAGAGUUGUUUAUAAGUUUCCAAAACAAACCAGCCAUUUUUAGUCGUUGUAGCUCCAUUGACGGCUGAACCAAUCAACCGAUUCAGAUUUGUCAAGCCGAUUGGUCAAUCGAUUCCUAUAGUUUCUCAGAUGUUCAUCACGGAUGAAUAAGUGGUAGACCAGUUCACUUGGUAUUACCAAGCGGUCGACUGGUUCAACUUAAAUACCAGAUUUGAAUAGUUUGAACCUACUGAAUCUUGAACCGAUAUUAAUCCUAUAUAUAUACAAAAUUAAGUGUGUAAGUUCAUUUUAAUUUUGUUAUUAAGCUAAAAUAUAAAUAUUUACUUAAUUACUAAAAUGAACAAUUAAUUCUUAGAUUCUCAUAUGUUCUUCACUUGCUUUGGUGGCUAGGUUUUAGAGAAGAAGAAAACUAUUUUUUUUUCUACACUUUCACUCCAUUUUUUUUCUACACUUUCACUCCAUUUUUUUUCUUUUCUCUAUCUUAAGUUUUUCUUCGAGGGUCACUACGGUUUCUUACCCACUCUUUUUUUUUUCUCUCUAAUUUUUCUAUGGAGGCUAGAGUGUUUUUCUACACCUCCUCCUUUUUCUUACCUUGCCUUUCUAUUAAUAAGCAACGGGGCAGGUUCUAGAAUUUUUAUAGGUGAAACAAUCAUAUCCUUUGAUUUCUUUGGGUCGAUUUUGACCCUUCAUCAUUAUUGUACAUUUGGUACAACAUGCUCGUGUUCUAUAAAGCUCACACCAAAUCUUAAUCAUAAAGAGUGGGGAGGGGAGAGAGAGAGAAGAAGAAGAAGAAGAAGAAGAAAAUGGGGCUGAAAAACUUCACUGCCAUUUUUCAAAAUCAGAUGACCCGUUUCCUUUCAAAGGGUAGCCAAAAAGUUCCCAUACACAACACACACACCCAUUAGCGAGCUUCUUCUUUACCAAAACAAAACUAAAAAAAUUAUAUCAUCAUUUUCAAGCCACCUUCUAGCUAUAACUGGAAACAAAAAAAAACAAAAAAAACAAUACAGCCUCUUUCAUCAGCGCUGUCUUUUUUCUCCACCCUCGAGUAACUUCUAUCUUGCCCCACGUUGACUCAAGGAACCAUAGCCGCUGCUUCCACAGUACCAUUAACCUGAGGUGUUCAUUACCGGAAUCAUAACCCAAGGCAGGCCAGGAGCCCACUCACAUCGUCCAUGUGCAUCUUCAGCGUGCUCGUUCUACAUUCUUGCCUCUGACCUCUCUGGACUUAGCUUUAUUCAAGCACUAGCCACUCAAAAAAGAGUGAAGAAGAGGUACGGGAUAUCCAGUGGAGCUGCCUCCAUCAUAAUCACUCAAGGUAUAAAGCUUCUACUUAUUCUCAUGUAGUUGUAAUCUUUUACAUGUGCAUGCUACUGCAAAGGCAAGCUCCCGUUUUUCCUUUAUGUGCUAUGAAGUUAACAUAUAGUGUUGUAAGGUGUGUGGAUCUUUUAAGUCCUAACCUGGUCACGGGUGUUCUUUCACUUGCUACGGAUACUGAAGGGGAUGGGGUGUGAUUUUUGCUUCAAACGCAUAUGGUCUUGAAAACUUGAUUGCAUGUCCUAAGGUCAUGUUAAGACCUUGCCUAGUUAAUUAAGAAUGCUCUUACCCAAGGUUAAAGUUCAAGAACGAUAUGAGAAGGUGGAAAAAGAUGUUGAUAACUAUUGGGGUCAUAGGUUUUCCUUCGUUUUUUUGUGUCUUUUGAAAAUAAAAAUGCAUAGGACUGUCAGGGAGUUUUUCCAUACCAUGCUUGGGCUUUGGAUGUAUGUUUCCUUUACAUGAGAUGAUGGCUACCUUGCUUUGGAUCCCUGGUUAACGAUGAUGCAUGAACUAUCGUGCAUGAUUUUUAUGUUCAAAAGAUCCAGUCCUCUAGCAGUGCAUAAUUAUUGGCCAAGCCGUAGAUAAAAUGAUUUUUGGUUGAAGAAGAUUCGGUAUGUGCAAGGGUUUCUCGUUCAUUUCUUUUUACUGUCCCAUGGCUUUUCGUCAAUGCUAAGGCACCUAUAUUUCUCUUUUCUAAAGUUAAGUUGGUUGUUAUCUACAAAUAGGUUUCUCACGGGCUGAAGAAUAUAUAUAAAAAACAAUAAAAAACCUGUUCAAUUUAACCUCUUAAAUUCACGAAACAAGGUUAUGAAAAUAAAUAAUUUCAUAAAAAAUAAAUUAAAAAAAACAUAAAAUCUAACUAAAAAAACAUGAAGUCUAAAUCCUAGCUAAUUCAAUGUUGUCAAUCCAAUGUUCAAGGUUAAAAUUUUAAAAAUAAAUUAAAUUAAAAAACAAAAAAUAAUCUGAGUCAACAAAAUUAAUCCUCAAAUUUGUUAUAUGAAUAAUAAAAUCAUGACAAUUCUAUAAAAAAAAAAUUAAACAAAGUUAAUUGCUCACCAACCUAGUGGUAGAGCAUAAAAUUGAAAAGAUUGUGUGUGCCACUUAAUAUAUAUUGUUAAAUUUUCUAUGAGAAAGCAGAGUAGUAAACAACCAAUUAGAGGAAAGAAGAAAAAAAAUGGAAAGCAGAGUAGUAAACUGCCAAUUAGAGGAAAGAAGAAGAAAAAGAAAAGGUUGUCGGUAUUAAACUGAACAACCAUCUGCCACACGCGCCGCCUCAUUAACGACAGCCUCUGGUCAAUGAAUAUCCCUACACAUGCCACCUGAAAUGUGCGGGAACGACCAACGCAUUGACUUGCACUUAUCAACUAUUUUUUAAAAUUAUUUAUAUUUAUUAAAUUAUAAAAUUGGAAAUAAACCACCCUGAUAAAAAAUAAAAUAAAUAAAAUAAACCCAAUGAAAAUAUACAAAUGCUCUUGGUUUGAACCUCAAGUGACUAACUAGAUAUAUAUAUCUCAGUUAAUGAGAAAGCAGACCAGUAAACAGCCUUUUAGAGGAACGCAAUUUAAUGCAGGAAGAGGGCCAUACUCACAAGAAAAUUGAUUUACACCCGACAUAAUAUUUUCUAAGUGUAAAAAAAGUUAAGGUAUUGCUAACGUGUGUUUUCUAGAGAAACAAUUAAUUAUAAACUUAAAAUCUCAUACAUAUUAAAAAAAUAUAUUUUUAAAAUAUUAAGAUAGAAAAACACUAGAUGACAUUCUUUUUAUAUAUAUUAAGACCAUAAUGAACUAGAUUGAUUUUGGCAAACCAUGGUUAAUUUAUAAAAUUCAUGAUCAAGGUCAUAAGACCGUAAUAACCAAAUAAAAAACAAAUUGAAACAAAUCAUGAAGCUCAGUUCCCAAACAACAAAAAAUUUGUGGAUGAAAUUGAAUAAAAAGUUAAAUUAAAAAAAAUGAAAAAAAGGUGGUUUGAUUCAAGUGGGGUAAACUUGUUGAACUCGCAACAUAGGUUAUGAAAAUGAGAUAACCCCAUAGAAAACAAGCUUAAAAAAAAAACAUGAAGCUCAAAUCUCAACCAACUCAAUAUUGAAGGAUGAAAUUGUAAAAUUCGAGUCAAACAAAGUUAACCCCCAAAUUCAUGACAUGAGUAAUAAGAUUGCGAUAACUCAAUAGAAAUAAAAUUUUAAAAAAAAACAACGAAUGUCAAUUCCCACCCAACCAAAAGUUAAAUAAUGGAAUUGAAAGAAAAGAAAUUCAACCCGGGUUAAAUGAUCGCGAUAACCCCAAAGAAAAUAAAUUGAAGAAAAAAUGUCAAAUCUCAAAUCCCAACCAACCCAAUAUUAAAAAAUAAAAAUGAAAAAAAAACUAAAAACAACCUUAGUCAACUCAAAUUAACCCACCAACUUCAUGACAUUAGUCAUGAGAAUUGGAUAACCCCAUAUAAAGCAAAUUAAAAAUAAAUAUGAAGCUCAAAUCUCAAUCAACUCAAUAUUAGAGGAUGCACUACAAGAUUUCACAGUUUUACCGACGGACAUAUUCCGUCGGUGUGUGAUUAGCAGUCCGUCGGUGAUUUUUUUACCGACGGAUUACGUCUGUCGGCUUUCCUUUCAUCGAUGAUUCCCCAUUCCGUCGCUAUAUCGGUCGGCAAAACAAAAAAAACCAUUUGCCGAUGGUUUUACAGACGGAAUUUGCGCGCCAAAAAAAAAAGAUUCCCGCUUGAAAUAUACCGACGGAUUUUUAGUCCGUCGGUGAUAUCGUGAUUUACCGACGGCUACUAACCGUCGGUAAAUCUGUCGGUAAGUGUAUGAAAUACCGACCGAAUAUAUCCGUCUGUGAAUUCGUCGGUAAGUGUGGCAGCUACUGUUAAAUGCCGACGGAUUAAUUCCGUCGGUAAAGCUGUCGGUGAGUGUUUAAAAUACCGACCGAAUGAAUCCGUCGGUAAAACCCUUGGUAAUAGUUUUUUUCUAAAUUUGUUUUUAAAAAAUUAUUUAGAAUAUAUAAUAUAAAACUAUAUAAAUUAAUUGUAAUACAAACCAAUUAUGCAAAUAAAAUUUAUAUUAAACAUCAAAAAAAAAUCAAAGUUAAAUAAUAUUCAUUACAAACUGAAUAUGUUUCAAAAAAAAUAUUAAAUGAAGUUUUAAAGGUAAAUAAUGUUUAUUACAAAUUAAUAUAAAGGUGGAGCUGGAGGAGGAGGAGGAGAUCCUGGAGGAGGAGGCUGGUGGUUAUACGGCCAAAAAGGAUUAGGCGCACAUGUUCCACUAUGUGUUGCCAUGUUCAUGACCAUUUCGCGAAACUGUUCAUAAGCCGCUUUUUGUUGUUCAUAAGCCGCUUUUUGUUGUUCAUACUCCGCUUUUUGUUGUGCUUGAGACGCUUUGAUUUGCUCAGACUCCGCUCUUUGUUGUGCAUAAGACGCUUUGAGUUGUGCGUACUCUGCUAAUAGGUGGUCGUAUUUGUCGGUGAGCUGAGCCGUGUGUUGCUGCAAGGCCACGAACUCCUUAGAUUGGGAGCUCCCAACGGUUGAAACACUACGGGUCAACCGCAAGUUGUCGGUCGUAGUGUUGGAGAGCCCGUAAACCCGAUUUUUAUCGGGUCCACCUGACGAUCCAACCUCCAUCCACAAAUCCGGAUCGAAUUCCGGAUGGGUCAAAAUAUCGUCCCCGUAUCUCUCCCUCAACCGAUUAUUAUAGGUCUCCUGAAAAUAAAAAAAGUAAUCAUCAUAUUCAAUUCAAUAAACAUAAUAACUUACAUAAUAACUUACAAAAUAAAAUGGUCGAACAAACAUAACACGAAAUGUUGAGUACGGUUAUCAACGAACUGUCGCGCCUCCAUUUGGCGGUCUUGACUCCACACGUGCGUCUCCACAAACAGCUCCAUCGGGCUCGGCUCACGUCCAAGAGACGCAGCCUAUAAUGAAAAAAGAUAUAUUAACAACAACUUAAUUUAACGAUAUAUUUCAUUUAAAUUAAUCUUACCAUCCGUUUCGCAUGUGUAGCAAACAGAACGGAGCCGCCAGUGUGCGUUGUCACCGAGCCAUGAAUUGGUCGAUUCCGAUUGCCAGCACCGGACUGUGAGCGUCGUGUGAACCGCUCAAACGUCACGUGCUCAAGAUAGUGCGGCCAUAUAUCUUUUGGGAUGUAUAUCGGUUUGAAAUCCCUCCAAACCGCAACAUUGUUCCAGCCUUGGAAACCCCUAUCCCUCGCGGUUUGUUUUUGCCCUUUUUUGUGCUUCAUACCAAAAAUCACGCAACCUACUUCACGCAACCAAAAAUUACAUUUCAAAACAUAAUUUUUUGUUUAAAAAAAAUCUUGUAUUUUUUUCGAUCUUACCUAGUUGUCGCGUGAUUUUCCCACACCCUCCUCACAACAGUGUUAUGCUCACUGUCCUAGCAGAAUUUGUGUUGUGUAUAAAUAAACAAGUUUAAAUAAAAAUAAUAAUUUAUUUACAAUUAUAUUAAUAAUUUAUUAGAAAUAAGCUGAAAAUUAUAAAUUAACACCAACCUGAAAUCUGCCAAACCAUGCAUUGAUUUGAGGCAUCCAUUCAGGAUGUUUGGAUAUAUGACUCAAUUGAAACAAUGAAAUCUCCAUCGAUGAUUUAAACGCCGAUGAUAUUACUCGGGCGGCCUCAAUGUUUGUGAACCUGAAAAUAAAUGAAAUAAAUUAAAUAGUGAUUACUUCAUAAAUUAUGUUGUAAUUUUUUAAAAAAAGAAAAUUAAACCUUAACAAACUUACAUUGAAAGGUUGUCCUUCCACUGUGCCUCGUACUUGCGAGUAAAUUGAUUCCGCUGCGAAGGCAACCCGCCUCUGCGCUGUGAAGUAGCGCUGGAAGAGGCAGCAUCGGUUGACGGCGCAAGUGGUGUAGGUGCCUCUUCUUGAGAGGCACCUAAGGAAAUAUCAUCAUCGUUGCUAGACGAACUAGCUGCGACCGUACGUGAGCGACCAGCUCUGCUUUUCAUUCUACGCGUCUACACAAUUUUAUACAAAUAAUUAUAUAAUUAAAUUCAAAUGUUAAAAAAAAUUCGACAGCACCUCCUCUAUACUGGAUACUACCCAAAUCCACAAACCUGCACAUAUUAACAAAAGCCACAAUCAAUUGACCCAAUCUAUACUAAUUAUUCCAACAAAUUCAAUUAAUAAUCCUAAGGUAAAUUCAACAUUAAGAAUUACAAUUCAACAAAUUAUUCAAUAAUUAUGCCAAUACAACAAUAAAAUAUAUUCAAUAAAUUAAAAACAAACUGUAGACUAACAAUUAAAAUUAAUGGAAAAAAUUAAACAUAAAUCAUGCAAUAAUAGAGUAAAAUUAACAAUUAUUCCAAAAUAUUCAAUUACUAAUACUAAGGUAAAUUCAACAUUAACAAUUACAAUUCAAAAAAUUAUUCAAUAAUUAUGCCAAUACAACAAAACAAUAAAUUAAAAAAAAAAACUCUAGAAUAACAAUCAAAAUAAAUGGAAAAAUUUAAACACAAAUCAUGCAAUAAUAGAGUAAAAUUAAUAAUUAUUCCAACAUAUUCAAUUACUAAUUCUAUGGUAAAUUCAACAUUAACAAUAAAUAUUCAACAAAUUAACUAAUAAUAAUUAUGCCAAUACAACAAUAAAAAAUAUUCAAUAAAUUCAAAAAAAAAAACUAUAAACUUUAGCAAUGAAUUAUGCAAAAAAAAUUAUAGACUUUAUCUACAUUACAAAAAAUACACUAAAACAAAAAACAUAACAAAAAAAAACCCUUAAAGUAAAAUGAAAUAGAAGAAACACAUACCUUUUAAACUGAAGGAGAUUCACGAGAAAAGUUGCUAGAGAUUGCUGGUGAAACCUUUAAAGAAUGGAGAGGAAAAGAAUCGGUGAAAAAUUGAGGAGAAGAAAAAAUGAACUGAAGAGGCGGUUGGGGGACUUAUAUGGCAGUUUUACCGACGGAUUCACCGACGGAUAUAAAAUUAAUUAUUAUUUUAAUUUAUUCUGUCGGUAAAGUGUCAAAAAUCCAUCGGUAAAUUUUGAAUUUCGCACCAAAAUUUUUAAUAAACCUCCAUUUUUUUCGUGGUCCGUCGGUAAUUCCGUCGGCACUAUGACGCGGUCAGAUAUGCAUUUAAUGCACAACCCUUUGGAAUUCGCGCGGUCCGUCGGUAAUUUUGUCGGUAAAAUUGACCCGCUGACAAAUUACCGACGGACCUAUAGUUGUCGGUAUGUAUGUCGGUGAUUGUAGCAUUUCAAGUAAACUCUCUGUGAAAUGCCGACGGAUUUAUAUCCGUCGGUAUGUAUGUCGGUGAUUGUGGCAUUUCAAGUAAUUAUUUUCGAACUAUCUGUGAAAUGCCGACGGAUUUAUAUAUUGUGGCAUUUCAAGUAAUUAUUUUCGAACUCUCUGUGAAAUGCCAACGGAUUUAUAUCCGUCGGUAGGGACGUCGGUGAUUGUGGCAUUUCAAGUAAUUAUUUCAUGUUUCAAAAUAUAUCAUCCAUGAUCUAUAAUUAUUUCAAGUAAUUAUUUCGUGAUUGUAGCAUUUCAAGUAAUUAUUCCAAGUAAUAAAUAUUUUGUGUUACAAAAUAUAUCAUCCAUAAUCUAAAUUACAUGAAAAAAAGGGUUUUACACAGGGCUUCAUUUUGGUAGUUAGUCAGAAUUUUCUUCUUCUUCGUCAUCAAUUGAAUUGUCAUCACCUUCAUCGUAAUCUUCAAUAUGGAUAUCAUCUUCUUCAUCGACAUUUGCUUGUCCGCUAGAGCUCAAAACAAAAUUCAACUCCUCUGCGUCAACAUCAACAAGACUAUCAUCGAAAACACGAAAAUUUGAAUUUUCUUCCAAUUCAAUCGAAGGCGCAACUCGAUAUGGUUCAACCAACUCACUAACUUGAAAGACUUCAUCUCGCACACUUGUGUCUUCGUUCUCAUCCUGAACAACCUCGACACGACCUUGGGGUUUCGUUUUUAAAACGGAUAACCAAUCCACUCUUGAUCGAUCCUUUCUAAAUGAAGGGGUGUAUGUGUAAUAAACUUGUUGACAUUGCUUUGCGAAAACAAAGACAUCGUUUAUAUUGCGGAGUCUAGCUUUUGAGUUGAUUUCGACCAGACCAUAGUGCGGAUCAACUCUGAUUCCUCUGUCAGUCGUGUCAUACCAAUAGCAUUUGAAUAAAAACACUCUAUUCUGCUCGUUAUGAUAUUCCAGUUCGACGACCUCUUCUAAUCUACCAUAGUAGUCAACUUCUAACUCACUACUAGUGGAUCCCUUAACACAAACACCGCUGUUGUAUGUCUUUCUUCUUUGCCCGUAUUCUUAAGUAUGGAAAACAUAUCCAUUGAUAAAAUACCCGUUGUAGCACUUACAUUUUCUUUCAGGCCCCAGGCUUAGUGAAGACAAUGACUUAGGCGCACUCCUUCCCAUUUGAUAAACCUUGUGUACAUCAACAAACAGUAAAUGAACGAGAAUCUCGUAAUGACAUGCAUACGUACAAUAAUUUUGCAAGUUAGAAUGAGUUUGUGAUAGUGCUUACAUGUGUUCUGAACCACGUGGCAAACUGUUCAUCUUGUAAUUGAAAGAUCUGGGAUUCGGUCAGCUGUGAGUUAUUGGAGAGCAAAUAUUGUCGAUGUUGCCUACAAGUGAUGAUGAGUGUAUGAUAUUACAAUGUAUAAUUAACAGUAUAUUACUAACAAAGUUUAAUUAGUAUAAACUUACUGAAUAAAAGGUCUCAGCUCAUCACAGUUAAAUAGAACAUAGUUGUGUGCUUGUUUGAACUCUAUUUCCGACAAAUAUCUUCCUCUUACAGCAUUUUUAAGUGUGGGUCGUCCAGUAUUGGAGAAUAUUGACAAGUUCCCAGUGGAAGGCACCUCACCGCCAUCAUCAUGUUGUGGAACGCGAUUGAUUCUCGUUCUUAGAUGAGGUUCGAAAUAGUACGAAAUAAAUGUUGAGAUCUCCUCAACAAUAUAGGCCUCACAUAUCAAAGCCUCAACAUGCGCCUUGUUCUUAACCUUUUUCUUGAGAUUAAACAAGUACCUGCAUUGAAAUAUUAAUCAAGUAUUUUCAAUUAAGAAAAACAUAUAAAAUACUUUUAUAUAUGAAUUACAUUGCAACUGUAAUAUCUAACCGUUCAAAUGGGUACAUCCAUCUAUAUUGGACCGGUCCUCCAGCUUUUGCCUCGAACGGUAGAUGUAUAGGGAGAUGCUCCAUUGAGUCAAAAAAUGAUGGAGGGAAUAUCAUCUCAAGUUUGCAUAGUGUCUCGAUGAUAUUCAUUUGAAACCUCUCAAUGUGAUCAACAUUCAACUUGCUGGAGCAUAUAUCUCUGAAGAAAUGACUAAUCUCCGUGAGUGCAUCCCAUAUUCUCUUUGGCAACAAAUCACAAAAAGCUAAUGGGAUGAGUGUUUGCAUAAACACGUGGCAGUCAUGACUCUUCAUUCCAUACAAUCUGCAGUUCUCUAUAUUAACCAGCCUUGAUAUGUUCGAUGCAUGUCCAUCCGGAAAACGCAGACUCUUAAGCCAUUUGUAGACUAGUAGUUGUGCGUUUUUCUCUAACAUGAAGCUUGCUUUUGGUUUUGCGACCCGUGACUCAUCAUAAACCAACUCUAUAUUUUUACGGUUACAGUAUAAAGCUAUAUCCAAUCUAGCCUUGAUGUUGUCCUUUGUCUUCCCCUUCACAUCCAUAACGGUGUUGAAAAUGUUCUCAAACAUGUUCUUUUCGAUGUGCAUGACGUCAAGGUUAUGGCGAAGCAAAUUGGUCUUCCAAUAAGGAAGCUCCCAAAAGAUACUUUGCUUUACCUAAUUAUGGGUCAAACCAAAACCAGGAAACUUUUGCUUACCUGAUUGAAGGCCAAACACAAUGUCACCGUACUCUGAGACAACAUCAUGCAAUUCUUCACCAGAAAGACGCGGGGAUGCAACAUCUUUUUCAACUCUGCCAACAAAGAAAUCUUUUAUGUUCUUUCUGUACCUGUGAUUAAGUGGCAAGAAGCGACGGUGACAGUCAAAAAUAGAAGCUUUACCUCCGUUUGCUAGCGUGAAUGCCUUGUUGUUUUCCAUGCAGUAUGGACAUGCGAGUUUCUCAUGCAUGCUCCAACCAGAAAGCAUUCCAUAAGCUGGAAAAUCAUUGAUAGUCCACAUCAAAGCCGCCCUCAUAAGGAAAUUUUGUUUCCUCGAUAUAUCAUAAGUCAGAGCUCCGGAGGACCACAACUGCGCCAACUCAUCAAUCAACGGUCGAAGACAAACAUCUAUAUUCCGCCCCGGGUUGCUUGGAUCGGGUAUGACAGUAGAUAAAAACAUGAACUCUGGCCUCAUACACAUUCCCGGUGGCAAGUUAUAAACUGUGAGUAUGACCGACCAACAAGAAUAAGGAGCAGCAAAUGACUCAAAUGGGUUGAAUCCGUCUGUACACAACCCAAGACGCACAUUCCUUGAUUCAGCUGAAAAGUGAGGAUGAACACUGUUAAAGCGUUUCCACGCUUUGCCGUCAGAAGGAUGAACCAUCACUCCAUCAACCGCAUGGUGUGCUUGGUGCCAUGUCACGUGCUCAGCAGUCCUUGGUGACAUGAAUAACCUCUGCAGUCUAGGUGUGAUCGGGAAGUAUCUAAGUUUUUUAUAUGCCACUAGANNNNNNNNNNNNNNNNNNNNNNNNNNNNNNNNNNNNNNNNNNNNNNNNNNNNNNNNNNNNNNNNNNNNNNNNNNNNNNNNNNNNNNNNNNNNNNNNNNNNCUCGCAUGUCAUGCACUCGGUCAUCUCAGCAUUUUCAAGGUAGUAUAAAAUGCAGAAGUUAGGGCACAUGUCAAUUUUCUAGUAUCCUAAACCGAGGGGUUUCAUCAUGGACUUCGCAGCAUAGAAGUUCUCUUUCAGCCUGUUCCCUUCAGGUAAAAUGCUUCUUGCCCAUUCAAUAAUCUUGUCAUACCCGGCCUCACUCAACCCGUGAUCUGACUUGAUGAUGAACACCUGUGCUAUGGCUGAUAAUUUACUAUGCUUCGUGCAGCCAUCCCAUAAUGGUUCAUCAGAAUCUUUCAACAAAUCAAAAAACCUAGCUGCAUCUGCAUUAGGUUCUUCUUCUACGAUUGGACAUUGACUAACAUUACCUUGAUUCAUUCUCAUUGCAUCCAUAACCAUAUUUCUGUAAGGAUUAGUGUUGUCAUUUGCCGCUUCAUGCACGUUGCUAGCACUAGAAGUAGACCCAACCACCGUUUCUUCCAUUCUCCUCUCACUAACAAAUACUUCUCCAUGUGCAUACCAACACUGGUAAUUCUCCAUAAACCCUUUGUGUAGAAGAUGCAUCAUUACAACAUCUGGAUGCAGAUACUUUUUAUUUUAACACUUCCUGCAUGGACACCUAAUACCGCCUCCAGUAAAAUUUAUGGGAAUAGAUGUUGCGAAAUUAAUAAAACCCUGAACCCCGUUACAAUAAUCCAUCAUCCGCAAUCCUUGGGGUGAAUCUCGAUACAUCCAUGAACGAUCAUCCAUGAUUUAUAUCGAACCUCUAUAAAAUUAUGAUGACAUCAUGUAUUAAUUAACUAAGUUAGGUAAAUAAACUUGCAAAAAUAUUACUUUACCUCGAGAUUAUCCAACAAACCAAUCACAACUUCUCAUAAAUAUUAAAUAUUCAUUAUCAUUUAUCAACGUCCAUACAAAUUAAAAUAUAUAAAUUUACGGAAAUUACCACUCCGCAAUACCAUUGAAAAAACUUUAAACGGACCCAUUAAGCAAGCUAUUAAUUAUUUCAAAACAGCACAUGUACUUCGGUAGUUCCAUAAAGUUUUAACAAUUUACAAACAAAUACAAUCUUACAAAAUCUAAAACAAACCAUAACAGGUAUAGAAUUAUACAUUCAUAUACUACAAGUUUGUUUGAGAAAUAACAAUAAAACAUGUACAUCUACUAACAAAAUACAUAACUAAAAAAACAAUAAAAUUGACAUUUAAUUAAAUGUUAAAAUUUAAAAAGAUAGAAUUACUUACAAAAAUUGAUAAAAUCCGUCGGUAAAUCAGAACACGGAUGUUGUGACCACAAAACUUCAAGAAAUAUAACUUGUUGUGCUGAUAUGAGGGAGAUUUUUGUUUGGGGGGGAGGGGGGGCUGGUUGUUUGCAGAUGGGGAGAGUUGGGAUUAGGAAGAAGAAGGAGAAAUAGGGGAGGAGAGGGUCGGCAGAGCGGACAUAUAUUAACUUUUCCCGACGGUUUCACCGACGGACACUCCGUCGGUGAAACCGUCGAUGAUUCUGACGGAACAAUCGACACGUCAUCGUACGGAUUUGUCAUUUCAAAUCCCUCGGUGAUUCCGUCAGUAAUAUAAACGGCAAACCGGUCACGUCGCUGUACGGGCUGUCUUUUUGAAUCCGUCAGUGAUUCCGUCGGAAAACAUAACCCGCCAAAACCUCCACGUCAGCGACCCGUCUUGUUUUUUACGACGGACACUAUUCCGUCCGUAAUUCAGUCGGUAACUACCGACGGAAAUUUUUCGUCGGUAGUUACUGACUGAAGUACGGACGGAAUAGUGUCCGUCGGUAAUUUCGACCUCAAAUUACCGACAGACAUAUUCCGUCGGUAAAUCCGUUGCUAUUUAGCGAAUUUCUGGUAGUGAUGAAAUUGAAAAAAAAAUUGUAUAAAAAAAAAGCCAUCCCAUGUUAACCCAAACCCAAGUCAGAAAAAUGUAUUAAAAAAAGAAAAUCUUUCAUUGCUACUUUUAAUAAUAAUUGUUUUUUCAUGUUUUUGUUGAAGGGAAAUAUGACAUUUAAAGAAAUUAAAUACACUUUUUCAUAUUUUUGAGAGUGUUAGACAUAAAAAUAGUGAUGAAAGAUAAAUAAUAAUAAUAAUAGAAAACAAAAAAAGAAUCGAUCGCUAGAGGCAAACCAGAAGCCCGUUGUCGGCACAUACAACACAAUGACAUAGAACACAGAGAGAGGGUUCAAAUGGGCAUUGAGAAAGGGCAGAAUCGGUCAUCAAAAGCUACUGAACAUGCCACCUAAGUGUUGCGACCUCCCCCACUCGUCGGUGCGUCCUACACACACACCACCACUUUUUCCAAUUUUUUUCACCAUCGAGAAAGAUUAUCACCUUAUGACAAGUUAACUUGGCAAAGAAAGGUAAUAACAAUGUUUUGAAAUUGAAGGCGGCAACAGCAGCCAAAAAUAAUUAAUUUAAAACCAUCUACUUAGUACAUAUAAGUUGAUCAAGGGUUGCUAAUUUGUAACGAAUGGCAUACAGUUUUACCAUAUCAACAGCAUGAAAAUUGAUAAUUGAUGUGAAUCCCAAAUCUAUUAUUCUAUUUCUUUAUUAAUUAUCAUAAAAAAAACAUUUAUUAAAGGUGUUGUCCUCCAACUCUCUUUCCAUAAAAAGAAAGAGUUGUGAGCCACCACAUACAUUUGAUCAUGGACAAAAGGUAAUCAAAUAGUUGCCUCCGCUAGGACAAGUAAACGUGCUCGAUUUAUCAUCAAAAGCAUAACUAUAAGCUUGAGGACACUGCUUCUUGAAGAUCAUCGAAUAUUGGUUAGGAGGACAUUUGUCAGGUGUACUGUACUCUCCUGUGCAGCAGAACUGCGGCUGGUUAAAUGCCAAACACGCGCUCUUGCAGGCAAUCACAGUCCCAUCUGGCCCCCUCACUGCUAAACUAGGAUCACAAACAGCAUUCACGUUAGCUGCACAGCUUGUAGAACUGCAGCCAGGAGAACCUCCUUGCGGGGUUACCGAAAUUGGGAUGUUAAAGCCAUCAACAAGGCUGAUAUCAUAAAAAUCUAGCCCACCACUACCAUUUAGAGUAAAUUCUGCCAGGGAUGCUGGUGGGAUCGCACCGGCUCCAUUGCAUUCUAUGACACCAGAGGCACAGUCAGCAGUAGCACAAACAAACUUUCCCGAGGCAUCUGUAGAGCAUUGCGUUCUGCCCCACAAGCGGCCAGACCAUGUUGCAGGGACACUUAGCGAAUAUGAAGCACCUGUUGCCAAUGUGAAGCCAGUUGAAGAUAUAGGCGGACGGCCAGCAGCCGUUAGAGUUCCUGGCCAGACUGUGUAUGGACAGUUGUUUUUGACAACGAAAGUCACAGAUUGAGCUCCUGCAUACGUGCAAGCUGCGCAAGAUUUAUUUUUGUUCAUAUCACUAACUAAAUCUUAGUCGAUUCGAUUCAAAGAAAAUUUUAAACAGUCAUGCGGUUCACGAGUAAACUGAUUCGAAAAUAUUUUUAUUAUCAAAUAAAAACACAAACGAGUUUUAAAUACAUCAAACUCUAAUUUAUGUGAAUCUAUUUUAUUUUUAUUUUUUCAUAUAAAAAGAAUAGGACUUGAAUCUAAGACUUGGCCUUCGUUUUCUCUACGGAACUAAACGUCCGUACAUAAUUCAAUAUUUAAAAUCUUGCAUUAAUUCACUUAUUUUUCUUUUAAAAAGAUAACAUAACCCAGGUUUAUUUUUUAAUAUAUUUUUUUCUUUUUUCUUUUUUAUCCGGAAACUCCCUCCUGGAUAUGUUUAUUGGAUUCACGAAAUCCAUUGAAUAAUGAAAAAGUAAUUAAAGUGAAUAAUAUGCAUAAUAGAGCAAGAAUCUAAUAUAUGUAAUAUUGUAAAAGUACUUGCCACAGAGGAAGAUGACGAGGGUGAAGGUAAUUAUAGCAAAGGGCAUACGACUCUCCAUUGUUGCGAUUCUUCGAUGGGCUGAAUUAAGACCUUUUCAAUCUUUUUCAAGAGAUUUGAGGUAAGCAAGAAACACCCUAUAUUUUGAAAAGAUUAUGUGUGCCAAUUGAUAUAUAUAUAUUGUUAAAUUUGCAGUGGAAACUUUUGGAGCAACCAAACUUUUGGGUCCGCGCAAUUAAUUAGUUGCAUUGUUAGGAACAACACAUUAUGUUGUUCUCAAUAAUGCAUCACCUAGGAAUUAAAGAAAAUUGAGAAUCUUAAAAUAGACAUUGGUCUUACAAAUUUAGGUAUUAAGUUACUUAUGUCUAAUGAAAUAUUGAUGUUAUCCUUGCUGCAUCCUUUCAAAUGAAAGGUUAUAUUUACAAUAUGUUUUUCUAAAUUUAUUCUACAUAUGUUAUUAAUUAUCUAAAUUUAUUUAUAAUCUUAUUCAAGAUUUUUUUAAUAAAAAAUUAACGUCGGUCCCUAUGAAUAAAAAACUCGUCAAUAAAAAAAAUCUUGAUGUUAAUCCCUAAAAAUAUGUGAUUUCAUCGAUUUAGAAAAAAAAAUAAUGUUGAUCUAAAAAAAUAGGUGAUAAAAAUAGGAUAUUUCAUUGGUUUAGGAAGAUUUUGACGUUAAUCUCUAAAAAUAGGAGAUUUCAUUCAUUUAGAAAUUUUUUUACUUUAAUCUUUAAAAAUAUAAGAUUUAAUUGAUUUAGAAAAAAAAUGACAUUAAUCUCUAAAAAUAUGUGAUUUCAUCAAUUCAAGAAAAAUUAGACAUUAAUCCCAAAAAUAUAUAAUUUCAUCAAUUUUGGAAAAAUCUGAUGUUAAUCCUUAAAAAUAAUAGAUUUCAUCAAUUUAGGAAAAGUUGGAUGUUAAUCUUUAAAAAUAGAAGAUUUCAUUGAUUUAGAAAAAAAAUCGAUGUCAAUCCCUAAAAAUAUGUGAUUUUGUUUAUAUAGAAAAAAAGGAUGUUAAUCCCUAAAAUUAAGGGAUUUCAUUGAUUUAGGAAAAAAAUCAACAUUAAUCCCUAAAAAUAGGUUAUUUAUUUGAUUUAAGAAAAAAAAGAUGUUAAUCCCUAAAAAUAAGGGAUUUCAUCAAUUUAGGAAAAAAAUUUAUGUUACUCCCGGAAAAUAGACUAUUUUGUUGGUUUAGGAAAAAAAAUGGCAUUAAUCCUUAAAAAUAGGUGAUUUCAUCAAUUUAGAAAGAAAAAAAUAAACAUCUAUAACUAAAAAUAGGUGAUUACAUUGAUUUUUAAUAAAUAUUGAUGUUAAUCCCUAAAAUAGGGGAUUUCAUUAAAAAAUCUAUUUGCGAAAAUGGGCGUUGGACCCGUAUGGAUGGUGAAAAUUGAGCUUUAGCCCUACUUUAUUGAAUAUGUCUAGAAUGACCCGAAGGGUGCCAAUUAUACUCAUUGGGUCUAUGUGAGGCUAGGUUAACCCAGUGCAGGUCCACUUGCAACAAAAAAGAUAAUAUGUCAUAAAACACAGAUAAUAUCCAAAAAAAAACAUGAUUACAAAUAAAAAUGAUAAAAAGAACAUGAUAGUUUUUUUAUUUUCAAUCAUAAUGUUAUCACUUCGAGAGUGACCCUGUUGAUAGAACAACAAUUUACUUAAUACGUCAAAGGCACCCUUGAACUAUUGAUCCUAUUCAAGUUUAACAAAACAAUUUCUUUUGAAAAACAUAAAACCGCAAUUCAAUCAUAAUAGCAUACAAUCAUUAUUUAUAUAUUUUUUUUAUGUGAAAACACCCCUAUAGUACUUUUUUAAAAAAUGCAUCCACAUGAAAAACCUAUCAUAAUGAAAAAUUAAAAACAUAUAAGAAAAACCAAGCGUCCAAUACUAGGGGCAUCAUAUCCUAGAGUUGCCACACCAUGGUAUAAAUCACAACACUUUAAGUGUCACAAACAUUCACAAUAAUACGCAAUCAAUCUCAAUAGAUAAACAUUUCAUGACAAUAUCUAACAACAUAAUAAAAAAAAUUAUUCAACAAUCAAUUUAGGAUUCAACAAUUCUAGAGUGGCUAAAGUCAAUCGAAAUGAUUUAAAUCAAGUGAAGAAGUUGUUGGACUAUUAAGGGUAGUAUUGGCACAUGACAGCCACGCAUUGGUGUGUGAUAGCAGUUGUUGGUGGUAUGUGGGUUCACGCGCUGAUGAUGGUCACAAAGGUGGUCAGCUAGAUAGGGCGUGUCGUCUCUUAUCUUCUCUUCCAUGUCGGUGAUGUAUUCCACCACUAUUUGAAGAGGGAGAUUAAGCCACUUAAACAUUUUAUUUUUCUUUCUUGUUUUUCUUCUACCCCCACCACUACUUCCAUUUUUACUGACACUACUAUUGCUGGUUAGGAAGUUGUUGUGGUGAUGUUGAAAAGGGAUAAUGAUGUUGAUGGUGGUGUUUUGUUUUUGUUGGUGAGAUCAAGAAAGAGGAUGGUUGGAUUUUGGUCAUAACUUAAGUUGUUUGGGUUAUGAUAAUCAUGAUCGAUGUUACUGCUAGCGUUGAUGGUGUAUGUCAUUAGCAGCUGCUAUCAGUGGUUAGAGGGAGUAGUUGUCGUCAAUGGUGAAUGUAGAGUGUCACAUGUCCCCCGCGCAGUCUGUGGUGAUUUUUGUUUUUGUUCGUUUGAUUAGUUCUUGAGAGUCACCACCUAGUAUUUCAUUGAAGGGUUACUAGGAAACCUGAAUGUACUGGUCUUGUCAGAAAUUCAUGGGUAAAGGACUGGUUGUGGCUAGGGAAGGUAUUAGCACCCCUAGCGCACCCUACCUGAGGUAAGCUGCAUCGUGAUUUGAUGUGAUAAAGAAGUUUUAAAAAUUAUCUUUUCAUCGGAUAUUAGAAAUACAACUUACAUGUAAGUUCAUAAUCAUUUACCAUGAGCAAAUCAAAACAUUAAAUUCUUCUUUAUUCUUUGUGAUUUUAUCAUAAAAAAAACAUCCAUAAAAAAAACUACAAACAUACACAUUCACUUUUACUAUAUUUUUUUUCUUUGCUUUUUUACAUUCACAUUUACACGCAACAAAUUAUAAAAAAAAAAUCAAAACUAAACAAACAGUACAUUAAAUAAUUUAAGAUUUACAAAAUAAACCCCCCCAAAUUCAGAGCAGUGAUGGGAAGACUUCUGGCACUUCAGGAAUAGUGGCGGUGCGUCUUCUCCACGCGCCCCCACCACUAGCGGCGUGUGGGUUCACACACCGCCGCGAGAACAAACCGGGAAACAAAGCAGUCGAGAUUGGCUUCUCCUCUUCCUUUCCUCAUCGGUGGUGAGGAUCAUUGUCACCUGCAACAAGAGAAAAACACACAAACAGCAGUUGAUUUUAAGUUUUCCUCCUUGUUUUCAGAUCUGCUUCUCUCCCUUCUCCUUUUUCAUAUCUGCUUCUUUCUCUCUGCAGAUCCCUUUGUUUUAUUCUGUUUUAAGUGGUCGGCGGUAGGAUCAAGGGACUGCUAGCGAAUGGGUUUCAGUCGCGUCUGUGCAGCUACUGGCAGCUGGUUCGGGUCUUGGUGAGGCUGAGGGCCUGCAGGCUGCUAGGCGACGUUCUCGGUGGCUGAGAGAGGUGUUGGUCAGAUCUAGGGAAGAGCUGAGGAAUGGUUGGCCGAGGAAGGGAGCUGAUCUGUGAAAGCCGGCAAUGGGGUUAUUGGGUCGGCUGUCAAAGAUCGGGAGAAGGAGAUGAGGAAGCGCAGUGGGCAGCCUCUGUGGUUGUGGUGGGGAGCUGGAAGGAGAUAGGGAUGGCUGAGAGGGGGACCGUGGGUUUAUGGUCGGCUCAAAGAGGGGAGAUCUGGUGAGGCAGAAGAAAGGGAGAGUGUCGACUAGAGGAGGGGAGCCUUGUCCAGCUACAGGGAGAAGAAGCCGAAAGUUUAAAAUCCCAAAGCAGGGUUUCUCCUUUUUUUUUCAGAGAGGGGGGGUGGCCGAAAGAUCAAAUGGGUUUAGGUUUAGGGUUUUUUUUACUGCCUCCCUACAAAUGUGCAAAAUUGCCCCCCUUGUGUAUGUGUUGGAAACUCCUAUUUAUAGGCAAAAAUAUUGCUAGGUCCCCAAACAUGGUGCUUCAACUUCUUUCUUUUUUUAUAAAUUUUUUUAUUAUUAUUAUUUUGGAUUUUUCUUAUCAACAUCGACUCAAAUGAGGAAAAUCAUUGAUUUUAAAAAUAACGCGUUAAAAGUCGAACGCAUUCUAAAGACCUUUAAAAAUUUAAAUUCUAUUUAGACGAUGCUGAAAAUGCUAAAAACGAUGCAAAUAUAUUUAAAAAAAACAUAUUUUUUGGAUUAUCAUUGUUUUUCGCUAUUUUUGGAUUUUUCAAAAAUUUUAUCAAACAGGUGGGCCAAAAAUUAGGUAACAACAUAGAGAUAGAAGUCAUCGAUAGUUGGCUGUUGUGAAGUGAUAAAUGGUGGCUAGCCUUUCUAAUAUGGUGACAAAAGUCGGCUUAUGGAGUUGAUGGUGUGGUAGUCUAUGGUGGUUUUAGGUUGGAAAAAAUGCUUAAUGGUGGUUAUUUAGUGGCUAGGUUUCAGUGAAGAAAAAGACUUUUUUAUUUUUUCUUUUUUCUACUCUUUCACUCCAUUUUUUUCUUCUCUCAUAAGUUUUUCUUCAAGGGUGGUUAGGGUAUCUUACCCUCUCCUUUUUUCUUCUCUCCAAUUUUUUUAUGGAGGCGAGGGCUUUUUUGAUACCUUCUUCUUUUUCUAUUUAUAGGCAAGGGGGUAGGUUUUAGAAUCCUUAUAAGUGGUGUCAUAACCCAUUUCUGAGUCAUUCCCCAAAUUCAAUUUUUUUUGUUUCAAAAUAAAAAUCAAAAAAUAAAAUAAUAAUAGCAAGAAGAAUAGCAUUUUUGGCAAAAGCAAGUUGGGAGAAUUUCAAAUGAGGAAAAAAAUCAUAUUGCAAUUUCGGAUGGAAUCGGGAGCCUAAUUUUACCCCAUCUUACCCAACACUUGAGAGACAAUGUGUAUUCAAGGUCAAGUUACAUGAUUACUGAACAAAUCUGCAUAAAAAUUAAGCCCGUGGACAUGAUUAGAUAUUAAAUACGCUAAUUUGAUUUAAUCUUGAGCCAAAUCGAGAAUUUAAUUAUGCUUAAGAAUUAAUUUGGGUCCAAUUAAAGGAUUUAAUUAGGUGCAAGGUCUGAAUUAUAUGUUAAAUGGGUCAAAUUAAUUUUAUUAGGGGUUUAAUUGGUGAAAAACUAAGUUUAGGAGCCCAAUUUGAGCAUAAUUGAGAAGAUUAGAAUUUUAGUAGAUCAAAUUUAAUUUUUACCAAGUCAAUUGGUUCAAAUCAAGGGUAGAAUUGUAAGAAAAUUAAAGUUUUAGGGUCAAUUAAGGGCUAAAUUGAAGAAAUCCACAGUCAAUAACCUUU